UACAAACCCUUUGCAGAUCAAGCUCGGAAACAUCCACCCAGAAAAAAAGAAGAAAAAAGAACUGCUUCAAAGAAGUCAUAUAUAAAGAAACUACAAGACAGUAACUUCUAGGCCUUAUAACAGACCUCACCAUCACAGAUUCAUCCCUCUUUGGCAUCUCCUCCUUCCUCUGCUUCCUCCCCAGCUGCUUCAGCAUCUUCAUCUAACUCGUUUUUAGUCGUUUUCUCUUCUUUAACAGCGCAUUUUGGGUGGAGAUCAAAGUCACACUCCUCGCAAUAAUACGACCACCCCUCCCCUGCCUUACCGCAGCCAUCACAAUUGUACCUUCUCCUCUGAGCAGGAACGAGCUCGUGCUUUUCAUGCAAAGGAUGCUUCAACUUCUCUGGCCAGCCUUUUAUACUUUCCUUGAACUUUUCCUCAAACUUCUUGAGAUGUUCGGCAGUAAAAGGAUAAGCAUCAGCCCCGUGGUCCAUUAUAAGAUCCCUUGCUUUUUUACUCACCGUCCGGCCCGUUGGGCCUAUGGCUACAAGCAUGGGGAUCCCCUUGACCUUGAAUCUGCGACUCAGGAAUUUCUUCCUCUCAUCACCAAAGGGAAGCGCCAGCCAUGGCAUCUGAGCAAAAUAAUCGUCGAAGGCAGUUUGGUCCUUGUCGCUGGAGAUGAAGAUCACCUCAAAGGCAUCGUCUGUGGCCUUGAUCUUUUCGUAUGCCUCCGAAAGCACCGGCAGGAAUGCUCGGCAAGGAGGGCACCAGUGUGCCGAGAAGUAAAGGAGGAUAGUCUUCCCUACCAAGUCCGAUACUGGAAUCUGCAAUCAAAGUUAAGAAACGACCUUUUAGACGAACCACCAAUCAAUGGAGAAGGCAUGUGAAAACUGCAUACAUGGAAAGAAUUUUCCUAGUUAUGGACCUGGUUUCAAUCCUUUCCUCAGAUCAAGUAACCGAGGGACAACAAUAUUUAGGACCUCAUUGUAGACAUUAAAAAUUUCCCCAGUCAUUAGCUUCUAGGGGAAAAAACAAAUUUACCUUGGUUCCAUCCUUUCCAAUGACGAAAUCCAGAUCCCCUGAAACCAAGAUCGACUCCAAGGUCUGAGAUUCUUCCCUUUUCUUCUCUAUCUCUGCAAGCUCUGCAAACUUUUCUGGAGUGAAGGGAUAAGCUGUGAUGCCAUGCUCUUCGACAGUUUCGGCAACGUUGGCAUGGACAGUCUUCCCAUCCUGACCGAUAAUGACCAGAGUGGGUAGGGUCGACAGCUUAAAGUACCUCACCAACUUCUCGCAUUUCUUGUCUUUGAAUGGUAAUGAAAGCCAUGGCAUGCUGCCAAAGGAUUGGUUGAAUGAUGCUUCAUCAUCAUCGAGAGGUAUCUGAACGAUCUCAAAACUCUCUCCUCUGGCCUUCAAUUUCUCAUAAACCUCCAGUAACUUAGGCGUGAAAUCGACGCAUGCCCUGUGCACGGACAACGAGAAGUACAGACCCACUGUUUUCCCUUCAAGCUCAGUAACAGGAACCUACUUUGGCCACAAAACUAUUAGUAAAAGGAGGAUGGAAAACCGAAUCAUAAGCACAUGCGACCAUCAGUUUCAAAUGCAUCGAAGAUCUUUUUUAGGUUUACCUGAUUCCGAUUGGACGAAACUACGAAGUUACGAGAUCCAUGGACCAAAAGAGAGGUCAAUGAUUGAUUUAUCCUGGCAGCUUCUUCCUGGUCUUUCAACUCUUUGAUACGUUCUGGAGUGAAAGGGUGACCUUCCACUCCAUACUCACGGACAAUCGCAACUCCGCUAUCUGUUAAGACCGUACCUGUGCCAUCGAGAAUGACAAGGUGGGGUAUCCCCCUCACCUUAAACAAUUCAUCCAAGCUAUUGCGCUUGUCCAAGUCGGAAAACGGGAUUGCAAGCCACGGCAUCUUGGAAAAGUAUCCACUGAAGGACCCUUCAUCCUUAUCUGCAGAGAUAAAAAUGAUCUCCAGAUCACCUUUUGGGGAAAGUUCAUCGUACACCUCCGCCAGAAUCGGGGUGAACCGGUGGCACGGACCGCACCACGAUGCAGAGAAGUACAAGCCAAGCUUCUUCCCCUUCAAGCUAUCGACCUUAACCUGAUAUAGAACAAAAAGAUUCCUAAUUUUAGUUCUUUCAUACGGUAAUCAGCGAGCAAGGCACACUAGAUCACUUGACCACCACACAAAAAUCCUGAAAGUGCUCAAGAUACACAUCCAAAUGCCAACUGCAGAAGCACUUCCCUUAAGCACUGCUCAUUAAAUAGUUAGCAAAUCAGCAGUCUUCUCCACCAAAACAAGUAUACCACACAGAAGGUGUGAGCAUUUACACUAAAGAGCAUUACUUCAUAGCAAUAUCGGAUCCAUAUACACUGCUCCCACCUGAUCCAACUCCAAGUAACAUGUCUUUCUCUAAAAAGUAAUGCAUCAACUACCGAUCAUCCAGUUUCUGAAGGAAACAAAUGGACAGCACUCGAAAAUGAUGAUCCUAGAUCAGACCAACUUUAGCUUCUCUUGAACUAAAUUUAAAAACCGAUCAGCGAAACAACCCCACACGAAGACGAAGGCCACGAGAACUUCGACAAGGACGCCCACCCAUAAUUCUUUUUCUUUCACCUCAUCCAGCGAAAGAGCAAGAGUGAAAGAAGAGAACUGAGUUUCACCUGAUCGCCGUUGUUCCGGAUGAGGAAGUCCCUGUCCGGAGAAGACAGGAGGGACUGAACAUCGUGAGAAGAAGCCCCGCCUUCGACAACGUCCGCCAUCCUGGUCGCGUUCGUUCCUUGUGUCCUGUUCUCGUGUCUCUGCAGAGAGUCUGCCUGAGAAUCCUCCUAUGGCGGGCUCCUGCUGCUCUGUUUAUAUACAUAAAGAAAAUCCCGUGCAAGCACAUAUAUUAUUUAUUUUUAUUAAUAUUAUUAUUACGAUUAUUUGCUCUUUAAUUUUCCCUUUUUCUAUAUGUAUAAAUAUAUAUAUAUAUAUAUUAUUUUUUUUUCGGUUUCUGGAUGCUUCCUUGGACUUUUGGGGACGGCAAGGACGUCAAGGACGGUAGGAAACACGUGGACACGCAUGAUAAAUCUCAGUCUCCAUUUUCUUAUUUUGUAUAUAUGUUUUAAUUUACUACCUUUUACCUUUCCUUGCUUCCUACGCUUCCGGUAAGCGGUGUGUUUGGUAAUCAUUCUGUUUCGAGUAAUACUUUUUUAUGAGAAAUGAUUUUUUUUUCUAUUUCUGUUAUUGGGAAUAAUUUUUGAACAAAAAAAUGUAUUUAGUAACUUACCAAAUAUUAUAUUCUCGGGAUAAAAAUACGUUUGGUAAAAUUCUUAGAUUUUUUUUAUUUCUUUUAUUUUUUUAAUUAUUUUACUAUUUAUUCUUAUUUUUUCCUUUUUCUUUUUUCUUUUUCUCUUUGGUUGGUCACUGGUGACUGCCGUGGUCGGCGACGUCUGGCGUGCUUGCCAAAGUCUCGCUAGGCCAAGGUGAGGCUCGACGAGGCUCGGCCUCACCUAAGCGGUGCAAGGGUUGGCCUCGUGUCAGCAAGGGAGGCUGAGCCUCGUCGUGGCUUGGCGUCUUCGAGAGUUAGCGACGCUCCGGCAAGGUCAUCGGCCCUCGUCUGGCCGGUUAGGCCGGCGACUGGCAAAAUGAAGAAGAAGAAGAAAAUAAAGAGAAGAAGAAAAUAGAAGAAAAAAGAAGAGAGAAAAAUUGAUUCUAGAAAUUGUUUUGAAAAAAGUAAAUCACUUGAAAAAUAUUUUCUUAAAAAUAAUCACUUGUAUCGCUUACAAUAAUGAAUAAGUGAAAAAAUAUCUUUAUUGUCCAUGAAAUUGUUUAUUUAUAAAUUAUUAUCGAUUUAACUAAUAAUUUUAAGAGAUAUAAGUGAUGAUUUUUAGGAACAUAUUUUCUAAAUCAUUUAUUUUUAGCAAAAUAAACUGAAUUUUAGAUUGCAUCUUAUUAGUUAUAGAAUUUAACUCAUGACCCAAAAUAAAAGAAAACUCAUGAAUAAUCCUAUUUCAUACGGUUUAAUAUUCAUCAUGCAUGCCGUCUAGCGCUUAGGGACGCGCAGGAAAGUUUGGGAUGGCUGGGACACGUCAGCAAGUCGGCUUUAUCUUCUCAUUUUAUUUGUUAUUUGACCCCUUGACCGUUGCUUGCUUCCUCCACAAGAAGUUCAUCUCGAAAAAUUAAAGCUUGACAAAAUUUCGUUUUUUUUACCCUCUCAAAUUUUUAUAUAAGUUAGAUUUUAAAAGCUUGACAAAAUUUCCUCUUUUUACCCUCUCAAUUUUUAUAUAAUUAGAUUUUAAAUUCUUUUGAGAGCUAAAUUGCAUUUUUGCCUUUUUAUUCGCGCAUGGGUUGGCGUUAUGUGAGAAAUUAAAGGUAUGAUUGCUCAGGUCAAUUUUUAAUUAUAAUUUAGAUUUUUAAGUUUUGAAGAAUUUCUUUCUUAAUUUUUUAAGAAUUUCAGAUUUACCCCUUAAAUUUUUGUUGGUUGCCAAACAAAAAAUAAAGUUGAUGGGCCUAAUAAUAAAAUAGGGUAUAAAAUGGUAAAUCUAUCGCUACGAAUCUAUCUAAUGAAGAACUAAUUCCCUAUAAAAAAAAAAAAAAUUCUCAACUUUAGGUCUAGUUCCAAUUCUCUCUUAAUUUUUUAUCUAGAAAAAAAUCUAAAACUUUAGAUCCAGUCCAAAUUUGUCCCCAACUUUUAUUUGACUUAAAAAACUCAACUUUAAAUUCAAUCUUAAAUCUAUUUCAAACUUUUUAUCUUUAUCUAAGAGAAAAAUCAUCAAUUUUGACUUUAGUUUCAAAUUUGCCUCCAUUAGUCCUCUAUUCAAAAAUCAUUGUUAGUUGUCCGUAAUUUUCAUAUUCUAUAAUAGUUUUAUUUUGGAGAUAACUUUUCACGUCACCUUCCUAACGUGGAUCUCUUAUCAAUGUGUAAAUGCCAUAUUAAGUAGGGAUUACACCACGAGCCUAGAUUUGAAAAUAAAUUGAAAGCUGGUGAUUUUUUAGACAAAACAAAAUUCAGGUUUUGGGGUAUUUUCUUUAAAAAAAAAAAAAUAGAGGCAAAUUCGGGACUGAAUCUAAAGUUCGGGUUUUUUUUUUAGACAAAAAAAAUUGGAACAAAAUUACGAUUAGACUUAAAGUUGGAAAUGUUUUAGGAAAUUAGAUAAUUUAAUCAAGAGAAAAAUCAUAGACAAGAAAAAGAUAAAUACGAAUUCGUUGAGUUGAUAGGGAUAACUGAAGAAAAUAAUGCAAUUGAAAAAUGUAAAUUCCAUGAUAUAAGAAGUUGGCAAAAAUUAGGAUGAUAAGGCUGACUUGAAAAGGUAAGGAUAAUUUCUUUGCUUCGUCACGCUAACCAACCCAAACUUGACCACCAAGGAUAAUUCACUUUCCUUUGUUCUCUCGAGGCUCCAUGGAGCUCCAUUAUAAGCUAUUUUACCCCUUUCUUCUUCUUCUUCUUCUUCUUCUUUUUUUGAUCUUUCUAAACUUUACUAAUUCACAAUUAUUUAGCAUAUAUGAUCCACGAAGACUGUGAUUAACAACAAUAAAUAGCAACAAAACAGCCGCAUCAAAUAGAUGAAAAAUCUCGUAGCUUUUUCUUAAGCGAAACCUAUCAUUUUUCAAUCCUCUUUGAGCUUCAAUACCCAAAAGCAUCAAUUACAUUGUAAUGUUUAUAGCGGAGAAAUUACUAAAUCAAUCAUAAAUUUAUAAUACGGAUGUAAAUUUCAUCAUUAAUUUUUUCAUUUCUCAAGCCACUUCAAAUGAUAAUUCUAAAAGUUGAAAAUUCUACAAAAAUCCGAAUAGGAGGAUGAGACCGAUUUGCAGGGAGGGUGAAAAGGGGGGGAAUUAAAAAGUAUUAUGCGAAACUUGGUGACCAAGGAGGUGUUAUCCUUAGUCAAAAAGGAGAUAAAGAAGGAAGAACGUGAAGGAGGGGUUGGAAAAUGACCGUGCGCCUGACGUGUCUGCGCUGUUGGUCACAAGGACGUGUUCUUGCUAGUCAACAUCAAGGUGAUUGUCGUACAAAAAGCAAGGGGGGAUUCCAUGCCGGUGUUUCUUUUUCUUGGAAAAUUGGUGUUCGAUCUCAUCCUUAUUGGUAUUCACACUCUUUUGGUCAAGCUCCUAAGCAGGAACGAGGACAAAAAGCAACAUGAAAUUGGAGAUCAAACUAAAUUUUGAAGAAGGGAGGAGGAAAACUAGCAUUAUAAACCGAAAUCCAUAUGCCUAACUAGCAUUCGGAACAGAUUUCUGAACAUCUUCAACAGGUCCUCUCCUUCCUCUUUGUUUGUUUGUUUUGUUUUUGCUAAGAAAGUAAGUAAAUAGAUUAUUAGAAUGAAAAAAAAAUAAUAUAUGGGGUGCAUACUCGAGAGACUUGGUAAAAAAACUAUAAAAUAAUUAAAUAAUGAAAAUAAUUUUAAAAAAAAUGUAUAUAUACUUAUCAAGUUCAAUUGAGAAUUGGAUUGGUACUCACCAAUUUCAUUAGAUUGAAAUCAGGAUUUGGAUCAGUCCUCAUGGGAACCGCCAAUUUUGUACUAGUUCAGCCUGAUUUUGUGCCGUUUAGAUGAUUUCCGAUUUCUUAACACACCUCUAAUUGUGACUUUUAUAAAGUAUAUUGUAAAUACCUCACAGUUAUGGCUACUUUAAAAUUUCAGCACCCUUUGAUGACUUUCUAGGAAGCCACCGCAGCCAACAUUGAAGUGCUACAAUUUAUAAAAUAUGUAUUUCAUAACCACAAAAAGCCACGUCAUCUUAUACAUUUUUACCAAACUGGCUCUACUAAUUUUGAAAGGGAAAGACCAAGAACAAAGAGUCAACGUCAAGUCUUCGGGCAUUAAUUAUUGCCGACGAUACCUAAUCCACGACGGGUGGUCCUGGUCAAGCAGGCUAGAAAAACUCACUCUUUGCACGGAUAUCGUGAAAAACAGAAUAUAACACGUGUUUUUCAUUUUUAUCUUUUGUACAAUUUAUUUUCGAUUUGCUCUUAAUCCGACUUUUAUAUGGAUAUUUCCUUUUUACUUUCUCUUGUUCAUUAAAUUUUUGCAUCGAGUACAUAAAUACUGAUGCGUACCUGUAUUUUUCAAUCUUUUUUCAUUUCAAAUUCUUUUCAUUUACCUUGCUUGAAAUUUUUUUUGCAACUUUACAGUGACUUUCUACAUUUAUAUAUGUUAAUAUUUUUAUUUAGACUCUUUUAUAUUGUUGCAUCGAUUUCACUGGCAAAUUAUUUUGGUUAUGUCCUUACUUUUGUUAUCAACGUAAGUACAUUGUCAAUAAGUAUGAUAUACAAAAAGGGGGGAAAAGAAAUGGUGAACUCGUACCGACUCAGGAUUGGAAGGAAAAAAUACACUUAUCGAAGCUAAAUCGCCUGGUGCCAAUCGUGACCACUAGCUCAUACAGCCAGCUGCAUUGUCUAUUUUCGACAGCCGUGAAGCAACUUUUUAUGAGAGCAUCUUAAUCUCUCUUUCUGCUGGCAACCCACUUCAUCAAAUACUUUACAUGGCCAGCCCGACCACAUUUUUUCCCAUUACUUUCCUCACUGGCAAUGAGUUGAACUGAAUGAGUCUGGAAACGUCAAAGGUUUUGGUGGAAUGCUAGACUGCGUAUCGGAGGACAGUGUUGAACUGGAGGAAGUGCCUAAGGCUUGAGGAAGGCUCGUGUGGAGGUUGAUACCAGAGCUUUCUUCUUCUCCAUGGCUAGUUGGUUCCCAUUGCUCCACGAGGGGAUGCAAAAUAUUGACAAUGUGGCCCAUGUCCGGUCUCUGGAACGGUUCCUCAGCAGUGCAAUGACGAGCCAGCUCAGCAACUUUGAUUAUACUCUCUAAGGUUUCUUCAUCGGGGUCAAGAGUGUGGUCGAUAGCUUUCAGGAUGUUUUCCUUAUCGAUCAGAACUCUACGGAACCAAGUGACCAAGUGCGCCCUCUCAUCUGGCAUGGUGUUGUCUAAUGCUUUUCUACCGGUAAUGAUCUCCAUCAAGACAGCACCAAAUGCGUAAACGUCCACCUUUGUAGUUACCCUUCCAGUGGCUGUACGGACAGAAAAAGACCCAUACAAAGUUCAAUGCAAUUUCAUCGAUAAGGAAAAGAAAAGCCUCUGCUCAGAUUUCAUGUUAAGAGAAGCUAAAAGCGCCCCAAGAAUGGGUAACAUAAAGAAGUCACCCUUGGUUUCUAAUCAACAAUUUGUAGUCAGGUGAUUUCACUAUCCCCCUAAUGUGGAUCAGAGCAAUUGAAUUGACUUAGAUAUUUUAACAGCAAUCGUGCACAUUUGAGUUAAUUAAUGCGUGCUGAUCAAUGAGGUGAAAACAUAGAUAUAAAGUCCACUAGUUCGUCUGCAGGACUCCUAUCCAUUAUUACUACUGAAAGAUAUCACACUUAUGUAAUCUCGAUGAAAGAAACAAUAGAGAUCAAUUUACCUAAUGCAUAUUCAGGAGCUAAAUACCCAAAAGUUCCAGCCAACUGUGUCUGCAUGGAAUACUUCCCAUCAGGAACAUUUUUAACCAAACCAAAGUCAGCAACUUUGGCUCUCAUGUCAUCUUCCAGCAGUAUGUUUACUGGCUUCAAAUCCCUAUGGAUAAAUUUUUGUUGGGCUAAACUGUGCAGGUAUUCCACUCCUCUAGCAACAUCCAAAGCAAUGGUCACCCUUUGCUUCCAAGUCAGAGGUGCAUACCCCUUCUCUUGCCACUCGAACAGAUGUUGCGCGAGAGUCCCUUGUGGCAUAUAUUCAUACACUAAAAGCCUCUCAUCACCUUUGAUACAAUACCCUAAAAGCAUGACUAAAUGCCUAUGCCUCACUUUUGUAAGUACUGCAAUCUCAGCUUGGAAUCCCUUCAUUCCCUUCGUGCCCAUUGCCCCAGAUUCCAUUCUUUUAACAGCAAUUUUGGUGCCAUCAUGCAACUCCCCUUUGUAAACAACACCAAAACCACCUCUUCCUAAAAUGUUCUCUUCACUAAAAUUACAAGUCGCUUGUCUAAGGACUUCAAUUGAAAUUUUAACAUUUCCUCCUUUAAGAACGGGAAAAUCACUAUGGUCCCCACUGCUUUGGCUAUGCAAUUCACUUGGAAGCCCACCAUAACCAUUCAUACCAUUCCCGGCCCCAUUCUUAGCUACUUCCAUCCCAAUUUCCGGAUUGUCUACACUAUUAAAUUUCCUGUGUCGUCGGAUGAUGUAACGGAAUUUGUACAAGACAAGCAACACCACCACGAUGAAAAUAAGGACACCUACGACAACAGCAGCAAUUACACCAUCUGAAAGUGAAGAACCAUUUGACGAUCCAGGUGAGCCACCAUCAGUCGAAUUCGUCCCUGAACCACCGCUGCCUCAGCCACCAGUGUCCGUUUUACCAAUUAAUGGAUUACCAAUAGUAGUCAAUUUCACUGAGGCUGGGAAAACCGGUAUCGACCCAUUGAGAUUAUUGUUCGACACAUCAAGAACUUGAAGCUGAGUCAGCGUAGUCAAGCUUUCCGGAAUAGAGCCAGUAAGAUUAUUAUCGUUCAACAGCAGCGUGCGGAGCAAGGUGAGAUUCGCAAAUGCGGGCGAGAUGGUCCCACUAAACCCCCGCUUCGAGAAAAUAACAGAGGUCACAUUCUUCCCCUGGCAAGAAAUGGCACUCUAGCUGCCGUUGCAAGCAUCAUUCCCAGUCCAAGAAUCCGCCGGCGUGAUCGGAUACCCCAACGUACUAGCCACCUCAAGCAACGUAGUAACCUGUGGGUCGCAAGGGCCCGGCGCACUGUUGCAAAAGCUAUUGGUACCCCCGUAGGUAACGCUAAUUCCACUGCUAUUACUAGGGACGGGACCCUGCAACUUAUUGUUAUCCAAGGACACAUUCUUCAAGCCGGGGAGUGCCAACAGCGAGGCGGGCACAAGCCCAGUGAACUGGUUGUAGCUAAGCUGGAGAUCGAGCAAAUUAGUGCAUUGCGAGAGAUCGGGGAUCGGACCUGUGAACUGGUUGUUCUGGAGCCAGACCCGGCUCAGCUGGGUCAUCCCGGCCAACACGCUGAUGCCGCCGGAAAGCCCCAUCGCCUGGUUGUUGAUCCAGAGGUUCUGGAUCGAUGAAGUGCCGAAGGAGGAGGGGAGGGGCCCGGUGAGGUUGUUGUAGGAGAGACUCAGACUCAUCAGGCUAGGGAGGGUUCCGAGGAAGUCAGGGAUCGUGCCGGUGAUGUUGGUGUUGUCGGCGUAGAGGACAGUCAGGGACGUCGAGGCGUUGAGCUCCGCCGGGAUCUGCCAGGAGGGGAGGUCAUGAUUUUCGCUGAGGCUGAGGGUCUGGAGGCUGGUGAGGCCCUGGAAGGCGCCGGAGGUGAUGGAGGUGAAGUUGUUGCCGUCGAGGUAGAUGGACUGGAGGGAGACGAGGCCGGCGAAGGAAGGGACGGCGCCGGAGAGGGAGUUGCUCUGGAGGGAGAGGCUCUGGAGCUGGGAGAGGGAGGAAAGAUCCGAGGGGAGGGCGCCGGAGAGGGAGGAGGAAGAGAGGUUUAUGACGGUGACCCGGGAGGAGGAGUCGCAGCUGACGCCUGUCCACUUGCAGUAGGUCUGGCCCGAGGACCAGCCCGACGGCUUGAGGGCGGCGAGGAUCUCGGCCAUGACGGCGGAGUCGUCGGCGGAGACGGCGGAGGCGGCGAGGAAGAGGAGGAGGAGGAGGAGGAGGAAGGGGGCCGGAGAGCGGAGGCUCCCUGCGGCCAUUGUCGACGGCGUUGCUGUGGGUCGAGAGAGAGAAAGGCGUAAGCAGAGGGGGUGGGAUGCGCGGAGAAGGAAACAGAGGAAGUCGCGGUCGUUCUCUGUUUGUUCUCCUACGAGGCGAGAGAGAGAGAAAAACCCAGCAAAUUCAAGUGUCGAGAAGACUUUGCGGGAGUGUUACGUAUUUACUGAGGAGCAGGUCUUAUGAACAAGAGAAGGACGCGAGGGAGAGCGGCAUCACCCGGGAAAAUGGGGUCCAACAAUGUAGGAAACACGUGGACGCAUCGUACACGUCAGCAAAUCUCAGUCUCCAAUUUUCUUAUUAUAUAUAUAUUUUUUCGGUAAUUGAUAUAUAUUUUUUAAUUUACCCCGCUUUUACCAUUCCUUGCUCCCUACUCCCCCGAGAAGCCGCAUCUUUACCCUCCGAUGCUUGAAGUACUCAAAAAGAAUUUUGAUUUCAACCUUCUCAAUAUUAUAUUAUAACAAGUUAUGUAUUAUUUUUUUUUCAAAACAGUAUUUUAUUGAUGAGCUUGAGAAUUUUGCCUUUUUUGUAGGCACCCUUGCCUCUCUCCCUCCCAUUAAAUUUGAGAAAUUGGGGAAAUAAAAGAGGAAAUCAUUGGUGAAAAAUUCUAGAAGAAUCCGAAAUCCGCAAUGAUUAGGAGGAUGGGACGAAUUUGCAAGUAAUGUGGAAAAGGGGGAAGUAUAAUGCGAAACUCAGUGGCCAAGAAUGUGUUGUCCGUUAGUCAAAAUAAGAGAAUAUUCAAUUUCGAUGCUUUUCUUUUUUCUUGACUUUGCUAAUGAGAAAUCAAUUAGGAUUAAUUUUCAGUCAUUCUUUUAUGAUGUGAUACUAUCUGUUUGUUAAAUAAACAGAAAAUCCAGGAAAAAAAUUGAAAUUAAGGGUGUGUUUGUUUUGAAAAGAAUAUCACUUGAAAAAUAUUUUCUUAAAAAUAAUCAUUUGUAUUGCUUACAAUAAUGAACAAGCGAAAAGUAUCUUCAUUAUCCAUGAAAAUGUUUAGUUAUAAAUUAUUAUCAAUUUAACUAAUAACUUCAAGAGAUAUAAGCGAUCAUUUUAAAAAAAAAAUACUUUUUAAAUUAUUUAUUUUUAGCAAAAUAAACUGAAUUUUAGGUUGCAUCUUAUUAGUUAUGGAAUUUAACUCGAGACCAAAAAAAAAAAGGAAAACUCAUGAAUAAUCCUAUUUCAUAUGGUUUAAUAUUCAUCAUACAUGCCGUCUAGCUCUGAGGGAUGCGCAGGAAAGAUUGGGAUAGCUGGGACACGUCAGCAAGUCGGCUUUAUCUUCUCAUUUUAUUUGUUAUUUGACCCCUUGACCGUUGCUUGCUUCCUCCACAAGAAGUUCAUCUCGAAAAAUUAAAGCUUGACAAAAUUUCUUUUUUUUACCCUCUCAAUUUUUAUAUAAGUUAGAUUUUAAAAGCUUGACAAAAUUUCCUCUUUUUUACCCUCUCAAUUUUUAUAUAAUUAGAUUUUAAAUUUUUUUAAGAGAUAAAUUGCAUUUUUGCCUUUUUAUUUGCGCGUGGGUUGGUGUUAUGUGAGAAAUUAAAGGUAUGAUUGCUCAGGUCAAUUUUUAAUUAUAAUUUAGAUUUUUAAGUUUUUAAGAAUUUCUUUCUUAAUUUUUUAAGAAUUUCAGAUUUACCCCUUAAAUUUUUUUUGGUUGCCAAAAUAAAAAAGUUGAUGCGCCUAACAAUAAAAUAGGGUAUGAAACAUGGUAACUCUAUCCUUACGAAUCUAUCUAAUGAAGAACUAAUUCCCUAUUUUUUUUUUAAAAAAAAAAUCUCAACUUUAGGUCUAGUUCCAAUUCUUUCUUAAUUUUUUUUGUCUAGAAAAAAUUCUAAAACUUUAGAUCCAUUCCAAAUUUGUCCCCAACUUUUAUUUGACUGAAAAAACUCAACUUUAAAUUCAAUCUCAAAUCUAUUUCAAACUUUUUAUCUUUAUCUAAGAGAAAAAUCAUCAAUUUUGACUUUAGUUUCAAAUUUGCCUCCAUUAGUCCUCUAUUAAAAAAAUCAUCAUUAGUUGUCCGUAAUUUUCGUAUUCUAUAAUAGUUUUAUUUUGGAGAUAACUUUUCACACCACCUUCCUAACGUGGAUCUCUUAUCAAUGUGUAAAUGCCAUGUUAAGUAGGGAUUGCACCAUGAGCCUAGAUUUGAAAAUAAAUUGAAAGUUGGUGAUUUUUUUAGAUAAAAAAAAAAAUCGAGGCAAAUUCGGGACUGAAACUAAAGUUUGGGCUUUUUUUUAGACAAAAAAAUUGGACAAAAUUAAGAUUAAAGUUGGAUUUUUUUUAGGAAAUUAGGUCAUUUAAUCAAGAGAAAAAUCAUAGACAAGAAAAAAAUAAAUACAAAUUCGUUGAGUUGAUAGGGAUAACUGAAGAAAAUAAUGCAAUUGAAAAAUGAAAAUUCUAUGAUAUAAGAAGUUGGCAAAAAUUAGGAGACUGACUUGCAAAGGUAAGGAUAAUUUCUUAAACUUUUUUUUCAGACAAAAAAAAUUGGAACAAAUUUAAGAUUAGACUUAAAGUUGGAAAUUUUUUAGGAAAUUAUAUCAUUUAAUCAAGAGAAAAAUCAUAGACAAGAAAAAGAUAAAUACGAAUUCGUUGAGUUGAUAGGGAUAACUAAAGAAAAUAAUGUACGAUUCACUUUCUUUUGCUCUCUCGAGGCACCAUGGAGCUUCUUCUUCUUUAGAUCAUUUAAUCAAGAGAAAAAAUCAUAGACAAGAAAAAGAUAAAUACGGAUUCGUUGAGUGAUAGGGAUAACUGAAGAAAAUAAUGCAAUUGAAAAAUGAAAAUUCUAUGAUAUAAGAAGUUGGCAAAAAUUAGGAGGAUAAGACUAACUUGCAAGGGUAAGGAUAAUUUCUUAAUCUUUUUUUUUUCAGAUAAAAAAAAUUGGAACAAAAUUAAGAUUAGACUCACACAUGACAAAAUUUCUAUUUCUCGAUUUCUCUGUUUCUUUGUUCCCCGGAACAGGUUUGGAACAGAAAUCCGUUUGGUAACGCAAUUUGAUUUCUCUAUUUCUGAAAUAGAUCUCUAUUUCAGAAAUAGAGAAAUUGAAGAAAUCAGAAGCUGAAAUUUUUAACUUCUUAAUUUCUAAAAUAGAAAUCAGAAACUAAAAUCAAACCAUAUAAAAGAACCUUGCACUUUCUUGCUAACUUAAUUCACUCAUAACCACAACUUCACACAUUAUUGCUAAUUUUCUUUUUCUUAUUUUGCUCGUGUUUUUUUUUUUUUUUUGCAUUUUUUUUUAUAACUUCCUCUUUAUGAUGAAAGGCAAUCGAAUGGGUCCCUAAUUUUCAAAAACGAUCAAAGUUCUUAAAUGCUUACUUAAAAACGAUGGGGCUCUUUCCUCCUAGAAAAGGUACGGGUAUGGCCAAUUGAAGAAAAAGUUCUUACAUAAUAGAUGAAUAAAGAACGUGCCUAGAAAUUUAACCUUAUUUUUUUACGAAUUCAAAAUUCUUGCAAAAUCAAAAUAAUUAGAUUGUUACACAAUCUUGAAUUUUAAUUCGAAUGCAAAAGAUUCAAGAGAAACUCUCUCUUUGCUAUGCAAGGGCCAUUAAAGGUUCAUUGAGCAACAAUAAAGAAAUUAGGGAUGAGUAACUGGACUAAUUCAAUUCCAGAAUCAAAAUAAACCGACCUUCCCCCAAUUGAUUCCUAACCAUAAAUGUUACUUUAAGGUAGAAUUCUCUUAUAUUCCUUUACACCAUUAAUUUUAUUUUGUUGAUAAUCUUGUAUAAUACUAGUUUUUGAUAAAAUGACAAGGCUGUAUAGGCGUCAUUGAUGGCACCCAUAUUCAUGCUUCCGCAGUAUUUGUCUGAACCUACGUAGGAUGAGCUUGCAAACGAUACAUUGACCAAGGAGGGAAACCAAAUAAAUAUGCUUAGGAAAACAAUUUCUAAUAAAAUGGCAAUAGAUAAUAAUAUGCCGGAAAUUCUAUGAAAUUGUAUUUUCAACGUUUGUAAUGUAUUAGUAUUAUUUCGGCUAUUAUUUUGUAUUUGAGGAUUUCCUAUGUUAUUUUAGUAUUAUUUCGACUAUUAUUUUGUAUUUGAGGAUUUCCUAUGUUGUUAUCUAAUCAAUUUCUAUUCCUAGAAAUAGAAAUUUUGUUCUGUUAUCAAACGGAUUUCUGUUUUAGAAAUAGAAAUUUUGAGUCGUUAUCAAACAGGUUUCUUUGCUCAGAAACUUGUUCGGGAAAUAGAAAUUAAGAAAUUGAUUUCUGGCAACCUUAAAGUUGGAAAUUUUUUAGGAAAUUAGAUCAUUUAAUCCAGAGAAAAAUCAUAGACAAGAAAAAGAUAAAUAUGAAUUCGUUGAGUUGAUAGGGAUAACUGAAGAAAAUAAUGCAUGAUUUACUUUCUUUUGCUCUCUCGAGGCACCAUGGAGCUUCUUUUUCUUCUUCUUCUUUAACUGAAGAAAAUAAUGCAUGAUUUACUUUCUUUUGCUCUCUCGAGGCACCAUGGAGCUUCUUUUUCUUCUUCUUCUUUAACUGAAGAAAAUAAUGCAUGAUUCACUUUCUUUUGCUCUCUCGAGGCACCAUGGAGCUUCUUCUUCUUCUUCAAAUGAUAUUGAAAAUUCUACAAAAAUCCGAAAUAGGAGGAUGAGACCGAUUUGCAGGGAGGGUAGGGGGGAAUUAAAAGUAUUAUGCGAAACUUGGUGACCAAGGAGGUCUUAUCCUUAGUCAAAAAGGAGAUAAAGAAGGAAGAACGUGAAGGAGGGGUUGGAAAAUGACCGUGCGCUUGACGUGUCCGCGCCGUUGGUCACGAGGACUUGUUGUUGCUAGUCAAGAUUAAGGUGAUUGUCGUACAAAAAGCAAGGGGGGAUUCCAUGUCGGUGUUUCUUUUUCUUGGAAAAUUGGUGUUUGAUCUCAUCCUUUUGGUAUUCACACUCUUUUCGUCAAGCUCCUAGACAGGAACAAGGACAAAAGGCAACAUGAAAUUGGAGACCAAACUAAAUUUUGAAGAAGUGAGGAGGAGAUCGAUAACUCAUAGAAUUUGCAAUUAAGGUUUCCCUUUUAUCUAUUUUGUGAAAAGCAAAUAAUUCAAAAAAAAUUAUGAGAACAAGAAAUAUUUUCAUCGCCCACAAAUAAAAUUAGAUAUGAAUAAUUAUCGAUAAUUAAAACAUAUUUUAUUAGCUGAUUAUUUGGAGUGCUCAAUUUUAGGAACGUGUUUUUUGAAUCAUUCAUUUUUCACAAAUAAAAGAAUCUUAUAGACAUCUAAAGACAAAUCAUAUUCAUCUCAUCCUAGCAUAACUUGUAAGCACUUUGGGUGUAUUUGUUUUUGGAAAAAUUUCGUGAUAAAUGAAAAUGUUUUUCAAAAAAUCAUUGUUUACGAAAUUUUUUUACCUUUUCAGAUUAGAGAAUUUAUUUCCUAACUUUGAGCACAUGUUUUAUUAUUAUUAUUAUUAUUAUUAUUAUUAUUAUUAUUAUUAUUAUUAUUAUUAUUAUUAUUAUUAUUAUUAUUAUUAUUAUUAUUAUUAUUGUAAAUGGUUUUCGAUCAACUAAUCAUUUUUAACAAAUUAAAUGCGUGAAAGUUUAAAAAAUUAAUUUGUAAGAAAAUUUAAACAUAUACUCAUUGAUGUCCUUUCCUGAUGGAGCUCUGCACAACUAGCUGCGUUGCCUAUUUCUCCAAUUCAGUGGCGACCAAUCAUUGGGGUUUGCCCAGUGGCUACCCUUUUAACAUGGAAUGAGGAGACGGGGGGUUCAAAUCCCUAUCUUCUCAGGAGUUGGGGUGGGGACGAUUUAGUUUUAGGAGUGGGUUUCGACUCCCAUACUUUGCAAUGAGGCAGAGUAAAAGUCUGAGAGUGAGAGUUAGAAUAGAGAUAGAGUUGGAUUGACAAAAAAAAUGAAAUUUAGUGUCGACCCAUUAAUAUUUUAAUAUGCAUUAGCACGAGAUUUUCACCAAUUAAUAUACAACUCCCUGAAAAGAAAUAUUACUUUCUACAAAAGACAUAUUGGCCCUAAUCCCAAACAUCAAUUCAUUAUGGGGGCAUUCGUAUGGUGUUGAAGAACGAAUCUCCGGAUCGCAAUUUAUCGUAAAUAUUUAUUAUUCUUUCAUAAUUUUUACACAAGAUAUUGAAACACGCCAAAAAUUUAAAAGGGUUAAGGAUCGAUGGUGAAAAUCACUCCUCUCUAUCCUAUGGCCAUCAUUGGAUUUGCUUCCCAAGAAUCUUUUGAAACCUCUUUCAUUAUAAACCGAAAUCCGUAUGCCUAACUAGCAUUUGGAACAAAUUUCCAAUAAUAACUUUAGUCGCAAAAAAAAACAUUCUAACUAGAGAUGAGCAUAGUCCAAAUAGCCAAUUCCUACGUUGGAAUCAGAAACUAUCCACUAAAGACCGAUUUUGAAAAACUUGGAACAAGGAACCGCUCGUUGAUUCCAUAGAUCCACCCAAGAAUUGAUUCUCAAUCCCUACAAAGUUGCAUUUAUUAAUUUAUAUCAUGACAAACCUAGUUUCUAUUUAGAGCACCAAACCUUAUUCGGCCUUAAAUUCAGGUUGAAUUGUGAGCUAUUGAUUUUGAGUAGGGAUUGGGAAAUAUAGAGCAGAACCAAUAGACAAUACUCGUUAAGUAGGAACUCAAUGUCGUUAAAGGUCAUGAUGUGGUCUUCUUAGGGUUUUCUGACAUCAAGAACAUGUGGAGAAUUAGACUCUACGUUAGAAGUCCUAACCUCCAAAGAAAUUAAAAAAUUAAUCACUUGAUCCAUUUUUUUUUCAACAUCAACUAAUUUAAUCAAGGAAAUGGCUAAUGAGAGACCUAAUUAUUGAAUUUCAUAUUAUGACAAUAAAGCACCGCAACAUUUAUGGACAUCUCCAACCGAUUCUCUCCUUUCUCUUCAUUUGUCUAUUUUGUUUUGGCUAAGAAAGUAUGUAAAUAGAUUAUUAGAAUGAAAAAAAGAAGUAAGAGAUUAAUCCUAUUACACACUCAAAAGAUAAAAUUAGUCAAUAAUAUCCAACAAAUAUAUAUUGGUUAAAAAAAGUAGAAAAUAAUUAAGUAAUUGAGAUAUAAUUUCCUUUUUUUUUAAUAUAUAUACGUACUGGUCUAAUCCAAGUAGGCGAUUCCACGCAUGUAAUCGAGAACCAAAUCAAUACUCACUUGUUUUAUUAAAUUGGAACCAGGAGCCAGACUAGUUCCCACGGGAACUACCGGUUUUGUGCUAGUCUAGUCUAGUUUCAUGCAAUUCCCAAGUCUUUUGAUCCAUCUGUUUUCAACAUCAACUAAUUUAAUUAUACUCUUAAAAUGAGUCAUUGGCUCUUAAUUUUGUAUCAUGACAACGAAGUGCCACAAUAUUUAUGAACAUCUUGAAUAGGUCCUCUCCUUCUUCUUUGUUUGUUUGUUUUGUUUUUGCUAAGAAAGCAAGUAAAUAGAUUAUUAGAAUGAAAAAAAAUGGGGUACAUACUCGAGAGACUUGGUAAAAAAAACUACAAAAUAAUUAAAUAAUGAAAAUAAUUAUAAAAAAUUAAAUAUACUUGUCAAGUUCAAGUAGGAAUUGGAUUAGUACUCACUGAUUUCAUUAGGUUGAAACCAGGACCUGGACCAGUCCUCAUGGGAAUUGCUAGUUUUGUACUAGUCUGGCUUGUUUUUGUGCCGUUUAGAUGAUUUCCGAUUUCUUAACACACCUCUAAUUGUGACUUUUAUAAAGUAUAUUGUAAAUACCUCACACUUAUGGCUACUUUAAAAUUUCAGCAGCCUUUGAUGACUUUCUAGGAAGCCACCGCAGCCAACAUUGAAGUGCUACAAUUUAUAAAAUAUGCAUUUCAUAACCACAAAAAGCCACGUCAUCUUAUACAUUUUUACCAAACUGGCUCUACUAAUUUUGAAAGGGGAAGACCAAGAACAGAGAGUCAACGUCAAGUCUUCGGGCAUUAAUCAUCGCCGACAAUACCUAAUCCACGGCAGGUGGUCCUGGUAAAGCAGACUAGAAAAACUCACUUUUUGCACGGAUAUUGUGAAAAAGCAGAAUAUAACACGUGUUUUUCUUUUUUAUCUUUUGUAUAAUUUAUUUUCGAUUUGCUUUUAAUCCGACUUUUAUAUGGAUAUUGUUAUGAAAUACAUGAAUGGAUAGAAUGCAUGAAUGAAUAUUCAUUAUAUUCAUCUUAUCCAAUGUAUUUAUUAUGGUACAUUUGUAUCAAAUGUUCUAAGUACAUCUCCCUAUACAAUGAACGUUCGUCUCCCUUAUCAUGUACAUGUAUCAUUCGAUACAUUGAUAUUAAUGAUAAGUACAUUCUUGUUCUCCUAUAAAUAGGAGUUUAGUUUUGAUGUACAAUAUACAAUCACACAGAAACACGACAGUGAGAUACUAGAAAUAAAGCUCUCUCAUCUUGCUACUAUCUCUAGUGUUCACUUUCUUUCUCUUCUUUAAUCUCUUCUCUAUUAUAUAUUCGCCACGUGAUAUUUUACAACACGUUAUCAGCACGAGGAUCUACCGAUUGAGUAAGUAACUUUUGCAAGAACGAAGAUCUACCGAUUCAGUAAGUAAAUUUUGCAAGGUGCGUAUUAUUUUUAUUAAUCAACUUAUACUUCAUUUUCUUCUAUCAAUUCUUCAUUUUUAUUUUUCUUGGCCCGAAGCCAAAAUUCAAAUCUAAAAGUAUCCUUCUGCUCCUGAAGUAGCGGUGGAUAUUUGGAAAUCCUUUUAAUUAAUUUAAGGAUUUAUUUUUGCAAGGAUUAUGACAAAUAUUGAAAAGCCCAAAUUCCACAUCCUGGAAGUGAGUGGAAAGAAUUAUCUAUCCUGGUGCCUUGACAUGGAAAUGCACCUCCAAGGGCAAGGUCUCGCUAAUACAAUUACAGAGGAUGGAACCUCAAAUGAAAAGGAUAAAGCAAAUGCGCUGAUUUUUAUUCGCCGUCAUUUGCAUGAGAGCCUGCAGACUCAAUAUUUAUCCGUUCGAGACCCGCAUAUCUUGUGGAGGAGGUUGAAUGAUAGGUAUGAUCAUACAAAAACUGUUAUCCUCCCUCAAGCACAAUAUGAUUGGCAAAAUCUCAGAUUGCAAGAUUUUAAAUCAGUGUCUGACUAUAAUUCUGCUUUAUUUGAUAUCGUUUCUCGGCUAGAGUUAUGCGGUAUCAAACUCACUGAUGCAGAAUUGCUUGAGAAAACUUUUUCCACCUUUCAUGCUUCAAAUAUUGUAUUGCAACAGCAAUACCGGCAACGUCAAUUUGCCACAUUCUGAAUUAAUUUCUGUGCUUCUUACUGCCGAGCAAACUAAUGAAUUACUGCUCAAAAAUCAUGAUCUUAAACCUGCUGGCUCAAAAGCAUUGCCUGAAGCACAUGCUAACUUUGAGAAAAAUACUAGCCAUUUUAAGGGCUAUAAGCGCAGGCAAGAACAUAAUCCUAGAAGGGAUGGCAAGAAAUUUAACCGCCCUAGGAAAUCAAACUUUGGCCUGAAUCAUGGCAAAGAAAAGAAGCAAAAGAAGGUGAUUAAUGAAAGUAUUUGUCAUCGCUGUGGCAUGACCGGGCACUAGUCACGUACCUGUCGUAAGCCAAAACAUUUUGUUGACCUAUACCAGGCAUCUUUAAAGAAUACGGGCAAGCGUGGUGAAUCUCAUGCCAUUGAAAUCAAUCCUACUGCCAUAACCACUGUUGAGGCCAACAAUAUCUCCGUUGAUGGGACUCCUCUUGCUCCUAAAGUAGCAAAUGCAUCAUUGGAUGUCUCUGAUUUCUUUGAGGACCUCUGAUUACUUUGAUGAAUCAUAUUGGUGGAUAAUAAUUUGAACUUUGAAAUUUAUGUUGUUUCACUUUAAAUGUAUUACUUUUUUUUAUUGUUCUUUAUGAAAUACUUAUGAACCUUAUAUAAUAUUUAUCUUUGAAAUUUUAUUCAACUAUAUAACUAAAAUGCAACUUUUAUGAUACUUGACACCUGAAGUUGUCAAUAUAAAUGCAAAUGGAAAAUACCGAGAAAAAGGAAGAUGUUUGUUUGCUUGAUAGAGCAACAACACAUACUAUAUUUUGUAGUAGACACUUUUUCUCGAGUAUGACAUUACGUAAGGCACAAAUCCAUACAAUAUCAGGUUCUGUUCCGAUUAUUGAUGGUUUUGGGAAUGCUGCAAUUAUUUUGCCAAAUGGCACAAUCCUGCAUAUUGAGAAUGCGUUUCUAAGCAUUCGAUCAAAAAGGAAUUUGCUCAAUUUCAAAGAUGUACGCCGUAAUUGGUACCAUAUUGAGACUAUUUAUGAGCAAGAUAAGAAAUAUAUUGUCAUUUCCUCUUAUAAGAUGGGCCUGAAGACCAUCCAUGAGAAGCUAGAAGCUUCUUCUAUGGGUUUGUAUUGUGUCAUGAUUAAAGCUGUUGAAACCUACGCUACCAUAUCCUGGAGAUUGGUAAGCCCUGAUUAGUUUGGACUAUGGCAUGAUCACCUUGGUCAUCCUGGCGCUUCAAUGAUGCGUAGGAUAAUUUAAAAUACAAAAGGGCACCCUUUAAAGGAUAUAAAGGUAUUGUUGUCCAAAGAUUAUAAUUGUGAGGCUUACUCACAAGGAAAGCUCAUUAUCAAACCUUCUAUAACAAAGGUUAAUUUUGAAUCUCCUUUAUUAUUGCAAAGAAUUCAGGGUGAUAUUUGUGGACCAAUACAACCACCAAGUGGACCAUUUUGAUAUUUUAUGGUAUUAGUGGACGCAUCCUGUAGAUGGUCCCAUGUUUGCCUAUUAUCUACGCGCAAUGUCGCAUUUGCACGUUUACUUGCGCAGAUUAUAAAGCUCCGGGCACAAUUCAUUGAUUAUCCAAUUAAGAGCAUAAGGAUGGAUAAUGCUGGUGAAUUUACAUCAAAGAGUUUUGAUACAUAUUGUGCUUCACUCGGAAUCGAGGUUGAGCACCCGGUUGCAUAUGUUCAUACUCAAAAUGGAUUGGCAGAAUCCUUGAUUAAACGUAUCCAAAUCAUUGCCCGCACUCUAUUAUUGAGAACGAAUCUCAACGAUACUGCAUGGGGUCAUGCAAUUUUGCAUGCGGCAGCUCUAAUAAGAUUACGCCCCACUGCUAGUAUUUUACAAUCUCCCCUUCAAAUGGUUCUUGGUUAUGAACCAGAUAUUUCACAUCUACGCACCUUUGGUUGUGCAGUACAGGUGCCUGUAGCACCGCCAAAAAGGACGAAAAUGGGUCCCCAACGCCGUUUGGGCAUUUAUGUUGGGUUUAAUUCACCAUCUAUCAUUAGGUUCUUGGAACCAACUACUGGUGAUCUUUUUACUGCCAAGUUUGCAGAUUGUCAUUUCGAUGAGACUAGGUUUCCAUCAAUUGGGAUACCUACAACUUCCAUGACUGCAAAACAAAAACCAGUUAAGGUUUUUUCCUGGAAUGAGAAAAAUUUAUCUCAAUUAGACCCAAGGACUCCUGAAUGUGAAAACGAGAUGCAGCGCAUAAUCCAUUUAUAGGCUAUGGCCAAUAGACUUCCUGACGCAUUUAAUGAUGCUAUUAAGGUAACGAAGUCUCAUAUUCCAGCUGCAAAUGCUCCAGCUAGGAUAGCUGUUCCCGAAGAACAGGCUAAAAUGGAUCAAAAUCCCCUGCACUUGAAGCGUGGUAGACCGAUAGGAUCAAAAGAUACUGCUCCUCGAAAACGAAGGGGAAAGAAUCAGGAAUCCGCUCCAAAAGAGCUUGGCGUUGUGCUUGCUCCCAAAGAGCUUAUUGCCCCUGAAGAGGCACAAACCCAUGAAAGAAGCACUAGCCCCGGGAAUACUGAGAAUUCCAUUACAUAUUGUAAUGAAAUUUGGGAUCGAAAUGAAAUCAUCAUUGAUGAUGCUUUUGCAUUCUCAGUUGCUCAUCAAAUUAUGGAUGAUGAUUGUGAACCACAAUCUAUUAUUGAAUGUCGUCAAAGGCAAGAUUGGCAUAAGUGGGAGGAAGCAAUUAAAGCUGAAUUAGCUUCCCUAACUAAACGAGAGGUUUUUGGACCUGUAACUCGUAUCCCUGAUAAUGUAAAGCCCGUUGGAUAUAAAUGGGUAUUUAUCCGAAAACGAAAUGAGAAAAACGAGGUUGUCAGGUAUAAAGCCCAACUCGUUGCCCAAGGAUUCUCCCAGAGACCUGGGAUUGAUUAUAAUGAGACAUAUUCACCUGUGAUGGAUAUGAUUACAUUUCGUUUUCUCAUUAGCCUAGCAAUCUUUGAAAGAUUGGAAAUGCGUCUUAUGGACGUUGUGACGGCAUAUCUAUAUGGCUCAUUAGACUUUGAUAUUUAUAUGAAAAUUCCUAAGGGAUUCAAAAUGCCUGAAGCAUGCACUCCCCGCAAUUUAUUUUCAAUAAAAUUGCAAAGAUCCUUGUACGGGUUAAAGCAAUCCGGUCGCAUGUGGUAUCAACGCCUAAGUGAGUACCUAAUUAAGGAAAUGUACAAAAAUGAUCAUAUCUGCCCAUGCGUGUUUAUUAAGAAAUCAGAAACUGGGUUUGCUAUUAUAGCAGUUUAUGUCGAUGAUACAAAUUUAAUUGGAACUCUAGAAGAGUUAGCUGAAACUGCUGAAUAUUUGAAAAGGGAGUUUGAAGUUAAAGAUUUGGGUAAAACCAAACUUUGUCUUGGUCUAGAGCUUGAGCAUAAAGCAAAUGGAAUAAUCGUCCAUCAAUCAGCAUAUGUUGAAAGAUUGCUUAAACGUUUCAACAUGGACAAAGCUCACCCAUUGAGCACCCCUAUGGUUGUAAGGUCUCUAGAUCCCCAAAAGGACCCAUUUCGUCCUAAAGAAUCUGAUGAAGAGAUACUUGGUCCUGAAGUACCAUAUCUCAAUGCAAUUGGGGCUUUGAUGUACUUGGCACAAUGUACGAGACUAGAUAUCGCUUUUGCGGUAAAUUUAUUGGCACGUUUUAGUUCUGAGCCAACUCGGAGACAUUGGAAUGGAGUUAAACAUAUUUUCCGUUAUCUCCGAGGAACCAUAGAUUUGGGAUUAUAUUAUUCCAAGGAUUCCACUAACUCUGGUUUAGUUAGAUAUGCUGAUGCUAGAUAUAGAUCCGAUCCACAUAAGGCUCGCUCUCAAACCGGGUAUUUAUUUUGUUAUAACGUCACCGCUAUUUCUUGGCGUUCUACGAAGCAAUCGCUAGUAGCUACAUCUUCUAACCACUCUGAGAUUAUUGCUUUAUAUGAAGCUGGAAGAGAGUGUGUUUGGUUAAGAUCCGUUAUAACACAUAUUCAUAAUUCUUGUUGCUUAAUACCGGUUACAAAUUCUCCCACUAUAAUUUAUGAAGAUAAUGCUGCUUGUGUUGCACAAGUCAGGGGAGGAUAUAUCAAAGGUGAUAGGACCAAGCAUAUCUCGCCGAAAUUUUUCUAUACUCAUGAACUCCAAGAAAGUCGACAAAUUGAUGUUAAACAGAUUCGAUCCAUAAAUAAUCUUGCAGAUCUUUUUAACAAAUCAUUGCCAACAUCAAGUUUUGAGAAAUUAGUAUAUGGCAUUGGUAUGAGGCGAGUUCAUAAGAUGUAAGAUUGAUUAGCCCCAGAAAUGGCUAUAUGGCUCAAUUGAGGGGGAGAUAUUAUGAAUUAUACAUUGCAGCAUUGAUAUGUGCUAGUUCACAAGAUGCAAUAAUGAUUAGCCCCAGGAGUGGCUAUAUAUGCAUUGCACUCUUUUUUCUUUAUGUCCGGUUUUUUCCCAUAGGGUUUUUCCAGCUUAAAGUUUUUAACGAGACAAUUAAUGCAUCCAUAAAAGGGAGAGAUCAUAACAUUUGUGCUCUGCACUCUUUUUCCCUUUUUGUCCGAUUUUUAUCCCACUGGGUUUUUCCGGCUUAAGGUUUUUAAUGAGGCAGUAUCAUUCAAUGCACAUUCGUAAUGAAUAUGAUGAAUAUUCAAGGGGGACUGUUAUGAAAUACAUGAAUUGAUAGAAUACAUGAAUGAAUAUUCAUUAUAUUCAUCUUAUUCAAUGUACUUAUUAUGGUACAUUUGUAUCAAAUGUUCUAAGUACAUCUCCCUAUACAAUGAACGUUCGUCUCCCUUAUCUUGUACAUGUAUCAUUCGAUACAUUGAUAUUAAUGAUAAGUACAUUCUUGUUCUCCUAUAAAUAGGAGUUUAGUUUUGAUGUACAAUAUACAAUCACAUAGAAACACGACAGUGAGAUACUAGAAAUAAAGCUCUCUCAUCUUGCUACUAUCUCUAGUGUUCACUUGCUUUCUCUUUUUUAAUCUCUUCUCUAUUAUAUAUUUGCCACGCGAUAUUUUACAACAGAUAUUUCCUUUUUACUUUCUCUUGUUCGUUAAAUUUUUGCAUCGAGUACAUAAAUACUGAUGUAUACCUGUAUUUUUCAAUCUUUUUUUCAUUUCAAAUUCUUCUCAUUUACCUUGCUUGAAAUUUUUUUUGCAACUUUACAGUGACUUUCUAAAUUUAUAUAUGUUAAUAUUUUUAUUUAGACUCUUUUAUAUUGUUGCAUCGAUUUCACUGGGAAAUUAUUUUGGUUAUGUCCUUACUUUUGUUAUCAAUGUAAGUAUAGUGUUAAUAAGGCUAUGAAAUUUUAGCAAAAUAAAAAGGUAAAGUGAAAGUUUAUAGAACCAUGGAGUUAUGAUUUUAAAAGGAGAAACAAUAAAUGCAAUUGGAUUUGUUUUGAAUAUUGAUUAUAGUAAAAAAUUUUGUGCUUCAAGUGGUAUUGAAUAAGAUUUGCCACACUCAACUUGAACUAUGGCCAAGUGAGAAACUUGAACCAGAUAAAGAAGCUUAGUAUCCCCAAAACUUUUUUUUUUUUUUAUCAGAGCAAUACAAGUAUUUUUUUCAAGGAGAAAUAUUAUACAAAUCAUUUAUUUUUUACGAAAUAAACAUAGUUUAAUUAGACUUAAAAAAUCAUAAUCAUCUUAUCCUAGGAUAAUUUCUUCUCUAUUAUAACACUAUGACCUUAAAAAUAAAAAUACAACUAUAAUAGUUCAAUAUCAAUGGACAUCCAUCCACAUCAUGCUCUCCAAAAGAGUGAUAUGAAUACUAAAUAAUAACGAUUUGAAUACUAAAUAAUAGAUAUUUUGAUAACUUGAAAAGGUUGAUAUGAAUGUCAUCCUAUUCCGUAAUAUAUCUUAUUAGUUCUACAAUUAUUCUACUUUUGCACGUUAAAUUGUAUUUUGGAUUCUUAUUAAAAAUUAUUCAAAUUGCACUUUUCCUUCCGUGUUAAUUUUUAUUUUUUCAUUUUUUUACAUAUUAGUUGGUGGCCUUUUUGUUAAUAGACAAAAGCCCAUCAAUAUCCUUUCCUGAUGUAACUCUGCCCAACUAGCUUGCUGCGUUGCCAAUUUUCCAAUUGAAGCGAUCCUUUGAUAUUUUAAUAUGCAUUAGCUUGAUAUUUUCACCAAUUAAUAUACAAAUCCUGAAAAAUAAAAUUUUAAUAGACAAAAAGCCCAUCAAUAUCCUUUCCUGAUGUAACUCUGCCCAACUAGCUUGCUGCGUUGCCAAUUUUCCAAUUGAAGCGAUCCUUUGAUAUUUUAAUAUGCAUUAGCUUGAUAUUUUCACCAAUUAAUAUAAAAAUCCUGAAAAUAAAAUUUUAUUUUCUAGAAAAAGACAAGUUGGACCUAAAUCAAUAAAGAAAAAGAUAUUAUUAUAAAUGUCAAUUCAUUUUUGGGCACUUGUAUGGUUUCGAAGGAUGAAACUCCAGAUUGCAAUUUAUUGAAAUUAUUUUUUCCAUUAUUUUUAUUUAAAAUAUUGUAACACAAAAAAAAUUAAAAUGGUUUGUGAUUAAUGGCGAGAUUUACUCUCUUUUCUCUCCAACCCCAUGAAAAAUUAGGGAUAUGCUUUCGAAGAAUCUUUAGAAACCCCUUGUUACAAUCCAAAAUGCAUAUGCCUAUUAUCCUUUUGAACAGUUUUGCUAUAGUAAUUUCAGCUGUUGAAAGGAGCAUUGCGACUUUUGUAAAUUUUUUGGUCAACACCUCACAGCUACAGCUAUGACUACUUUAAAAUUUCAGCAGCUUAUAAUAACUUUAUAGAAAUUAGGAAGCUACUACAAUUUAUAAAAUAUGCAUUUCAUAAACAAAAAAGCCACCUCAUUUUAUAACACACCAUAACUACGUUUGUACCUAUCUGGCUCUACUAAUUUUGAAAGAGAAAGCGCAAAAACAGAGAGUCAACAUCUAGUCUUCGGGUAUUAAUUAUUCCUGACUGGGCCUGGACCACGGAUUGCAAAAUGAAGCUGGCUCAUCGCAGUUUUGCGCGUCGGAUAAACAAGCUAGCAGAUUGGGUGGUAAAAGCCCCACGUCCAGAAUUGGCUAUUUCAUCCCCGGAACUUAUGUUGGAUAAUUAUAUCGGGUAAAAGUCACCUAUAACACAUUUAUUCUGAGCUUUUCUUUGUAACAAAAAAGGCUCCAAACUAAACUAAUGUGACGCAUUUACUCCAAACUUAUACAGUGUGACAUCUUUAUUUCAAAUUUAUUUUUUGUGACAGCAAAAAUCUCAAGCCUUUACUUGUGUGACGAAUUUAUCCAAAAAAUUUGGUGUCUCAGAAAAAAGUUCGGGAUUUUUGGCUUCAAAAAAAAAGUUUGGAGUAAAUAUGAUGCAUGAGUAAAAGUUUGGGAUUUUUUGUAUCACAGAAAAAAAAAUUGAGGUAAAUGUGUCACAGUGGGCAAAGUUUUGAGUUUUUGGCGUCAUAAAAAAUAAUUUAGAUUAAAUGUGUCAUUAUAAGCAAAGUUUGGGAUUUUUUGUAGUUUUUUCCCUUAUAUUUUCACAAACCUAGCUUAAGUUGAUAAAAUUUCUGUUUUUUAGACAAAAAUAUUUUUUGUUGCAGACUAGGAAAACCAACUCUUUGCUCAGGCAUUGAGAAAAAAACAGAAUAAAAUUAUUGUCCUUUUCUUGCAUCGUGCUUUUAUUAUUGUUCUCUUGUUCCUUAAAUUUAAGAGAAGAUAGCAUAAAUGAUCCACAAAUUUUUGUCUCGAUCUGCAAUGUUGUCCUUAAACUUUUAAUUUAUUCAAUAUAAUUCUCGAAUUGUUGGUAAGUAUUCAAUGCCGUCUUUAGGCUUGCUCAAAAGGCAAACCAAAUGUUAUUUUGAUGACGUAGAUUACUAUAUGUUGAGUUGAAUUUUUAGAAAUGAUGAUUCAAUCUAUCUAUCAUUUUACCCAUCUACUUUAAACAAGGAAAAAAUUUAAGCAUUAACACGUCCAUUGUUAUUUGAUGAUAUGGAUUAUUUUAUCCGAAUUAAGAUGAAUAUCUUAUGUGGAUAAUUCAUAAAUAACUUUUUUUUUUGCCCACCAUUCAAACCUAAAAGAUUGGAAGCUACAUCACUAUUCUAGGAAUUAGAUUGAAUACAUGUAGAUAGUUCAAGGAUCAUAUUGUAUAUUGAAACAAAAUUCAUAAACUAUUUAUGUCAUUUUUCUUUGAAUUUUUUAAUCAAGUGCAUAAAUAUUGCAAUGCACCUAUGUUUUUCAAUUUUUUUUUUCAUUUAAAUGAGUUUUAUUUGGAGAGAGUCCCGACAGGGCUCUCUGCUUCAUUUAUAAACACAGACAGGAUAUAAUAAAGUCAGCGGGGCACUUCCAAAAAGCUUCCAUUAGACCUUGAUUUUACUCAAAUUAUCUAAUAAAUGUUUUUGGAGGUAGAACUCACUGAUUUGUCAAACCCAUUAUGACUAAUCCCCGCCAUAUCUCAUUAAACAACAGUUUAGAUUAAAUAAAAUACAAGCUAGAAAUGAAAUAGUAUUUCUUUAUACUUCGGUUAAAAUAUUUUUACAACUUUGCCAUGAAUUUCCAAAUUUAGAUGGAUUGAUUUUUUCUAUUUAAAUUUUUUUAUAUCAUUGUAUUGACCCCAUUGACAAAAUGUUCUGGCUCUGUAUUUGCUUAAAAUCAAUAUAGAUAUACUGUUGAUAGGGUCAUAAGAUUUUAUCACAAUUAAAAGGUACAAGCUUACGCAAUCAUGACUGAGUAUUAAAAUUGUGAUGGAAUCAUGUUUUUAAAUGGAGAAACGAUAAAUGUAAAUUACAUAUUGUAUGUUGAUUUUAGCAAGAAAUUUUGUGCUUCAAGUAAUAUAAAAUAAAAUUUGCACUCUACUUGAACUAGGUACAUGGCCAAGUAAAAAACUUGAGCCAGAGAGAGAAGUUCAGUAUCUCCAUAGCUUCAUUUUCUUGAUCGAAAGUUUUGUGAACUAUGAUUCAGCUACAAUAAAUCACAUGUGACCCCAAACAUUUCUUGACAUUCAAAACUCGAUUAAAUCUAUUAGAGUUAGGUCUCUUCUCGUAUCACAAUUAAUACCGACAUCCUUUCAUCCUUGCUAGAAAAAGAGUUCAACCAAAAAAGGAAGUGUGGAAAUGUGGAAAUUGAAAGCUUAUGGCGUUGUUGAAUUUAUUGAGUUCCUUGCUAGAGAAGGAAAGAACAUUCCACGUGGAAUGAAUCGAUUCUAUCCUCAAAUUCAACCUUUUCAACGAAGUGGAAGAUAAACGAACAUCAAUUCUCGUGUUCUUGACAUUAAAUUUUAGUUUGAUAUAUGGGGAAAACAGUCAAAUUAAUCCAUCUUCUUUGCCCAAGAACUAGACAUAUUGCCAACAGAUGCUCUUUCAUAAACGUGAGCUGCAAUUGGGCCUACAAAAGUUAACAGUUCUUGCAAACCAGGCUGCUUUAUAAUCACCAAGGAUCAGCAAGGAAUGAACUUCUUUUGCAGCGCCUUCUCCGUCUUGUCUUUUUACGAUCGUUCUUCCUUAAGACGACUAGCGACACUUUUCAUUGUCACAAAUUAUAUCAACCGAUCCGGAUCUAGAGUUACCAUCUAAUGAUAUAACAGAGGACCCGUUACCAUAACGCUGAACUGCACAAGAACUAACCACUAGGACCUUAGGACUGAUCAAAGACUAUUCGAUUGCAUCGAUUAAACAUGUCCUAUUAAGUCCGGUGUACAUGCAACAUCUUGAAGCUGCAUCUUCUAAAGGAGAGACGGAUGUGCAUGUACGACAACUGCCGAUCAAAGACUAUUCGAUCCCACUGCUCUAUUUAGCGCGCGGCUUGUCGACAAUAAACAUUUUAUUAAUAUGGCAAACUGUCGAAGUCAUAACGCACAUCACAUUACUCACAUACAAACCCCUCGUAGAUCAAGCUCGGAAACAUUCACUCAGAAAAAAAAAGAGGAGAACGGCUUCAAACGAGUCAUAGAUAACGAGACUACUAUAAAGCAACUUUCAGGCUCUACGACAGACAUCACCAUCACAGACCCAUCCUUCUUUGGCAUCUCCUUCUUUCUUUGCCUCCUCCUCAGCUGCUUCAUUGUCUUCAUCUAACUCGUUUUCAGUUGCUUUCUCUUCUUUAACAGCACAUUUUGGGUGGAGAUCAAAGUCACACUCCUCGCAAUAAUAUGACCACCCCUCCCCCUCUUCAUCGCAGCCAUCACAAGUGUACCGUCUCCUCUGAGCCGGAACGAGCUCGUGCUCUUCAUGCAAAGGUUGCUUCAACUUCUCUGGCCAGCCUUUUAUACUUUCCUUGAACUUUUCCUCAAACUUCUUGAGAUGUUCGGCAGUAAAAGGAUAAGCAUCAGCCCCGUGGUCCAUUAUAAGAUCCCUUGCUUUGUUAGUCACCGUCCGGCCCGUUGGACCUAUGGCUACAAGCAUGGGGAUGCCCCGGACCUUGAAUUUGCGACUCAGGGAUUUCUUCCUCUCGUCACCAAAAGGGAGCGCCAGCCACGGCAUCUGAGCAAAAUAAUUAUCAAAGGCAGUUUGGUCCUUGUCACUGGAGAUGAAGAUAACCUCCAAGGCAUUGCCGGCGGCCUUGAUCUUUUCGUAUGCCUCAGUAAGCACCGGCAGGAAUGCACGGCAAGGAGGGCACCAGUGUGCCGAGAAGUACAGGAGGACAGUCUUCCCUACCAAGUCUGGUACUGGAAUCUGCAAUCGAAGUUAAGGAACAACCUUUUAGAUGAACCACCAAUUGAUGGAGAAGGCACGUGAAAACUACAUCUAUGUAAAGGAUUUUCCUAGCUAUAAACCUGGUUUCAAUCCUUUCCUCGAGUCAAGUAACCCGAGGGACAACUGUAUAUGGGGCCCCAGUGUAGACAUCAAAAAUUUCCCCAGUCAUUAGCUUCUAGGGAAAAAACAAAUUUACCUUGGUUCCAUCCUUUCCAAUGACAAAAUCCAGAUCCCCUGAAACCAAGAUCGACUCCAAGGUCUGAGAUUCUUCCCUUUUCUUCUCUAUCUCUGCAAGCUCUGCAAACUUUUCUGGAGUGAAGGGAUAAGCUGUGAUGCCAUGCUCUUCGACAGUUUCGGCAACGUUGGCAUGGACAGUCUUCCCAUCCUGACCGAUAAUGACCAGAGUGGGUAGGGUCGACAGCUUAAAGUACCUCACCAACUUCUCGCAUUUCUUGUCUUUGAAUGGUAAUGAAAGCCAUGGCAUGCUGCCAAAGGAUUGGUUGAAUGAUGCUUCAUCAUCAUCGAGAGGUAUCUGAACGAUCUCAAAACUCUCUCCUCUGGCCUUCAAUUUCUCAUAAACCUCCAGUAACUUAGGCGUGAAAUCGACGCAUGCCCUGUGCACGGACAACGAGAAGUACAGACCCACUGUUUUCNNNNNNNNNNNNNNNNNNNNNNNNNNNNNNNNNNNNNNNNNNNNNNNNNNNNNNNNNNNNNNNNNNNNNNNNNNNNNNNNNNNNNNNNNNNNNNNNNNNNAAUCAUAGCACAUGCGACCAUGAGUUUCAAAUGCAUCGAGAUCUUUUUAGGUUUACCUGAUUCCGAUUGACGAAACUACGAAGUUACGAGAUCCAUGGACCAAAAGAGAGGUCACUGAUUGAUUUAUCCUAGUAGCUUCUUCCUGGUCUUUCAACUCUUUGAUACGUUCUGGAGUGAAAGGGUGACCUUCCACUCCAUACUCACGGACAAUCGCAACUCCGCUAUCUGUUAAGACCGUACCUGUGCCAUCGAGAAUGACAAGGUGGGGUAUCCCCCUCACCUUAAACAAUUCAUCCAAGCUAUUGCGCUUGUCCAAGUCGGAAAACGGGAUUGCAAGCCACGGCAUCUUGGAAAAGUAUCCACUGAAGGACCCUUCAUCCUUAUCUGCAGAGAUAAAAAUGAUCUCCAGAUCACCUUUUGGGGAAAGUUCAUCGUACACCUCCGCCAGAAUCGGGGUGAACCGGUGGCACGGACCGCACCACGAUGCGGAGAAGUACAAGCCAAUCUUCUUCCCCUUCAAGCUAUCGACCUUAACCUGAUAUAGAACAAAAAGAUUCCUAAUUUUAGUUCUUUCAUACGGUAAUCAGCGAGCAAGGCACACUAGAUCACUUGACCACCACACAAAAAUCCUGAAAAUGCUCAAGAUACACAUCCAAAUGCCAACUGCAGAAGCACUUCCCUUAUGCACUGCUCAUUAAAUAGUUAGCAAAUCAGCAGUCUUCGCCACCAAAACAAGUAUACCACACCGAAGGUGUGAGCAUUUACACUAAAGAGCAUUACUUCAUAGCAAUAUCGGAUCCAUAUACACUGCUCCCACCCGAUCCAACUCCAAGUAACAUGUCUUUCUCUAAAAAGUAAUGCAUCAACUACCGAUCAUCCAGUUUCUGAAGGAAACAAAUGGACAGCACUCGAAAAUGAUGAUCCUAGAUCAGACCAACUUUAGCUUCUCUUGAACUAAAUUUAAAAACCGAUCAGCGAAACAACCCCACACGAAGACGAAGGCCACGAGAACUUCGACAAGGACGCCCACCCAUAAUUCUUUUUCUUUCACCUCAUCCAGCGAAAGAGCAAGAGUGAAAGAAGAGAACUGAGUUUCACCUGAUCGCCGUUGUUCCGGAUGAGGAAGUCCCUGUCCGGAGAAGACAGGAGGGACUGAACAUCGUGAGAAGAAGCCCCGCCUUCGACAACGUCCGCCAUCCUGGUCGCGUUCGUUCCUUGUGUCCUGUUCUCGUGUCUCUGCAGAGAGUCUGCCUGAGAACCNNNNNNNNNNNNNNNNNNNNNNNNNNNNNNNNNNNNNNNNNNNNNNNNNNNNNNNNNNNNNNNNNNNNNNNNNNNNNNNNNNNNNNNNNNNNNNNNNNNNGCAAAGAACCAAACGGAAAGAACAUCGGCAUCUAAACUUAAAAGGCGCACGAACUCAUCUUCCAAUCCGGCAAGAUAAGCCCCAACCAAGAAUCAGAUCAGCAAAUGCUCUCGACCCCCACCCUCCCCCAGUUUGAAAUUCAAGAACCGAUCACCACAAGGCCAAGAAUUUCUCGCACGAAACUGGGUAGUCAGCGAAACAACGAGAACUUCCACAAGGACGCCAACCAACCCACAAAAUUCUUUUCUUUCUCCCCUCUUCCAAAGGGAAAGAGCGGGGAGUGAAAGAAGAGAACCGGGAUGGACAGGGUGAUCGCCGUUGUUCGAGAAAAAAAGGGGUCCCUGUCCGGAGAAGACAAGAGGGACUGCACAUCGUGAGAAGAAGCCCCGCCUUCGACAACUUCCGCCAUUCUCGUCGCCUUCGCUGCAGCGUUCUGGUGUCCUUGCAGAGCGUGCUUGAGAAAUCCUCCUAUGGCGGGCUUCUGCACCUUGCUCCUGUUUAUAUAGACAGAAAAAACUCAGGCAGGCAGGUCUUUUUUUUUAUAAUUAAAUUAUCACCGAAAUUAACUCUUUAAUUUUUCCUUCUUUUUUUUUUUUUUUGGGGGUUCUGGAUUGUUCCUUGGACUUUCGUGGGGCGCAAGGAUGGCAUCUCGGGAGAUGGGCUCCAACGUUGGUACGCGUCCACGUCAGCAUAUUAAUUGUCUUCUUUUUCCUUACUUCGAUUUUUUUUAUCUUAUUUAGCCCUUUUGCCAUUUUAUGCUUCCUCCUCCCCCAAGAAAUCUCCGCUGUAGAAGUCCGCAAAGAAUCAUUUAUUUUUACCCUCUCGAUAUUAUAAAAUGUUAAAUCUUAAUUUUUUUGUAUUUCAUUCAAUACUUUAGAUUUUGUCUUUUCAUUGGCACGUGGGGGCGGUGGGUGAAUAUAUCUCUAAGGGUGCGCAUGGUUUCAUUUCUGUUCCUUUUCUGUUCCCAGGAACAGAAACAAAAAAAAGUGUUUCUGUUCCGGGGAACAGUUUCUGAACAAAAAAACGCGUUUGGUAAGUGUAAAAAAAAACUGUUCUUGGAAUAAAAAAAGAACAGAAAUAUGUUUGGUAACUGCAGUCAAUUUCUGUUCUUAGAAUAGAAAAAGAACAGAAACACGUUUGGUAAACGACAAAACAAUUUCUGUUUUUUUUUUUGAUAAAGUUUAAAAUUGAUAUUAAAUUGUCAUUCUUAUGAAAUGCUCAUUAAUUUUAUUUUGUUCAUGGUUAGUGAAGACAAACAUUUUUAGCAUGAUCAUAUGGCAUAUUUCGUAUAAAAUUUUGUAAUUAAAGUUUGUAUCUAGUAAAUUCAAGUACAACCACGCUGCACCCCGACUUUAGCUAACCCCCUUGGUGGUGAAAUCGUCCUUCAACGCCCUCGCCACGUGCUUCACCAGCCUGUCCAUUCCACAUCACCAUGAGCAACAAAAUAACAAUAGAAGGAAACCACAUCACCAGCCUAUUCAUUCAAAAUCACCAGCCCCUGUCCACCUCGCUAGAGCUGCAGCAGCAGCUGCUGCACGAGCAGCUCGAGCGAGCUGCUGCAGCAGCUGCUGCUCGAGCAGCAGCAGCAGCUCGCUCGAGCAGCUCUAGCUGCUGCUCGAGCAGCUGAGCUGCAGCUCGAGCUGCUGCAGCUGCUGGAGUUGAGCUGCAGCUCGCUCGAGCUACUGCUCCAGCAGCUGCAACUCGAGCUCGCAGCAGCUCGAGCUGCUGCAGCAGCUACUGCUCGAGCAGCUCGAGCUGCUGCAGCUGCUGGAGUCGAGCUGCAGCUCGCUCGAGCUACUGCUCCAGCAGCUGCAACUCGAGCUCGCAGCAGCUCGAGCUCGAGCUCGCAGCUGCUCGAGCUCGAGCUCGCAGCAGCUCGAGGCAGCAACUCAAGCGAGCGAAGGGGGAGGCAAUGACGAGCUGCAGCUCGAGCGAGCGUUGCUCCCCUUCGGCGCGGCAGAUCUGGGCGAGCAACGCUCGCUCAAGCCUUGAGCGAGCAAUGCUCGCCCAGAUCUGCGGCAGAUCUGGCCGAGCAACGCUCGCUCGAGGGACGGCUCGCCGCGCCGAAGGGGGAGCAGUGCCGACCGGAGAAGGAGCGCCGAAGGGGGAGCGACGCUGACCGGAGGAGGAGGGCCGAACGGAGAGCAACGCUGACCGGAAACGUACCUGGAGUCGCCGGAGAGUUAGCCGAGUGGGAGCCGCCGGAGAGAUGGAAGACACGCCGGAAACGGAAGAACGAAGCUUCAGCCGAGAGGAGCGACGACGAGCACGCACGAAGAGUUCUUCGCUUUGUUCCGAAUUUGUUCUUUUGUUUCUUUCGUUUUUGUUCUUUUGUUCUGUCGAAGAAGUGUUUCUUUUCAAAAGAAACAACUUUUUUUUGUUUCUUUUUUCUGUUCCUAUUUCGUUCCAGAAACAAAAAAACAAAAAAGGAACAAAAACGCAACCAAACGCGUUUCUGUUCCUUUUUUGUUCCCGGGCACACUUUCCGUACAAAAGUGUGCCGGAAACGUUUCUUAGAAACGUUUCCAUGCACGCCCUAAAUGGUCGGUUCAUCCUUCCUGCAACGGUUGAAUUAUAUGAUUAUUAAAACCAAAAAGUGCGCCUUCUUAGCCCUCGUCCAAAUAAAUGGUAAUCAGAAAUUGAAAAAUUUAUAUAAUUGGGAGGAUGAGGCUGAUUUGCAGGGAUGGAAAGAGGGGAAGUUGAAAAGUAUCAUGCGAAGUAUUAUUCUUAGUGGCUAAGAUUGUGCCAUCCGUUAGUCAAUUACCUAGACACGUUGGCAAAGCUAUGUCUUUAUCUUCUCAUUUUGUUCAUUAUUGACCCGUUGACCAUUCCUUGCUUCCUUCCCAAGUAGUCUAUCCCCAAAAAUUAAACUUUGACAAAAUUUUAUUUUUUUAACCCUCUCAAUUUUCAUAUAAGUUUGGUUUAAAAUUUUUUAAGAGCUAAAUUGCAUUUUUGCCUUUUCUCCGCCCAUGGGACGACAUUAAAUGAGAAAUUAAAGGUGUGAUUGCUCAGGUCAUUUUUUUUUAUUAUAAGUUUGUUUUAAAAUUUUUGAGAAUCUCAAUUUUACCCCUUAGUUUUUGGUUGGUCCCACCCCCCCCCCACCCCCCCAAAAAAAAAGGUUGACGCGCCUUCUUAUCCCUAGUCCAAAAAUAAUGAGACAGGGUAUGAAAAGUGGGUAAAAAUGUCGCGAUUAAUUUGUUCGAGAGAAAAAUUAGAGAUAAGAGAAAGAUGAUUACAGAUUCGUUGAUUUGAUAUGGAUAGUUAAAGAAAAGAAUUAUUCCAAAUGAUUAAAAAAAUGGAAAUUUUAUUGAAUCAAAAGUUUGCAAUAAUUAGGAGGAUAAGACUGAUUUGCUUAGGACACGAAUGAUAACCAUUCUAAUAUGAAAUUGAUUUUUGUAACAGAAAUAAAUUUUUAUAUUUUUAUUUUUGGACGAGUUUCUGAGUGACAUCGACCAACCCAAUUUUUUUUUUUUUGAGACCAACCCAGAGUUGACCACCCCUCUUGUGGCACCUUGGAGCUCCGUUAAGCUAUUUACCAUUUUCUUCUUCUGCUUCUUUAUUUUUUUUUUAAUUUUCGAAACUUUACUAAUUUGCAAUUAUUUGGCAUAUAAUAUCAAUAAAGACUACGAUUAACAAUAAUAGUGAGCAACCAAACGGGUCCUUCCAAAGUGAAAAUUACAAAUUUUCAAUUCUUAUUAAGAUUUCAUGUUUAAUUUACCCUCUUAAAUUUCCAUAACCGGAAGUAUCAAUUGCCUUGUAGCUUUAUGAAGGGAAAAUUAUCAAAUCAAUCAUGAGCAUAUUAUACAAAUAUCAAUUCAAUCAUUAAUUUUUUUAAUUUUCUCAAUUUUAUUUUAAACCUUUCCAAGAAAAUCGGCCACAAUAACUGAAUUGGCAACAUUGAAAUUUAGGAUCAAAUUGACAUUCGCAUAACGGGUUUAGGACUGGUUGGACAAGUAGAAGCGGAAUGUUAUUUAUUUAUUUUUUAAUAUUUAUUUUGGUGGUGUGUCGUUCAAAAGCUAAAGGCCAAAUAGGGCGUCGGGUUAGUCGAAAGGAGCCAAAAAAUAAAAAUAAGAAACAUAAAAGAAAUGAUAGUGACGGACCCCAGACUUUUGGGACCCACGCCGACGAAAGAGGGAACGGGGAGACUUCCAACCGGAAAGAGCAUUAAAUAAUAUAGGUAAGGCAGGUUCCAUCCUUCACCCGUGAUGAAAGAGAUGCCCAGUGGAUGACCAAAACCUUGAUGAAAGAAAUACCUCUGAAACCACAUUCUUAUCACCCGUGUCUAAAAUUCCUAAUUAAAUAGACAUAAAGAUAAGUAAAUGGUAAUUAUCUCGUGUCCCAACAUAAUAUGCCAUGCGAUAAUCGCAAUUUUCUCCACCAUUAUAGUAGCACGAUCUUGAAAAAAAAAUCAUAAUGGUUCGAUCUCAGUGUAUCCCAUCAUCCAUCAUACCCUUGAGAAGAGAACUGGAUCUUUAUAAGCUUCUUAAACAUCUCUUUUUUUUCUUUUUCUUUUUUUGGAUCGAAUGACUUUCCCUUAAGUCUCAAACUCUUCCUCUUUUAUAAAGGAAAAUAAUUUCAACUAAAAGUCCAUUUGUUUUGUAAAAAAUAUUUUCCAUGAAAACGUAUUUCUUAUUUUCUGGCAUUUGGUUCAUUUAGAAAAAUAAAUCAAUAGAAAAUAUUUUCCUAAUCAAUGGAAAAUAUUUUCCCAUCAAAACUUAAACUCAGGGAAAAAAUUUUCCUAUCAAAACUUAAAAUUAGGAAAAUGAUUUCCCUUUUGAAAGAAUCAGAAAAAAAUUUCCAAAAUGUUUUACUACUCUAAUGAAACAUUUAUUCUUAUUAAAAUAAUCUAAAAAAAUGUUGAAUUUUUAAUUUUUUUUAAUUAUGUUAUUAUUAUUUUUCUUUUUCUUUUCUUCUUUACUCUUUUCUUUCUUUGCCUUUCUCCUUCUUCCUCCAUUGGUCGCGUACCUUAGUGACAACUAGCAGCCAUCGACCAUGACGCGGGUCAACAAGCUUGAAUUGGUGGAGGCUGGCAGGCUCCUGGCGAGCUCCUGGCUUGCUUGAUCCCAGCAAGCUUAAGCUCACCUGUGGCCGUUGCUGAGACUCGACGAUUGGUAGAGGGAGAUGGUAAUAGAAAAAGAAAGAAAAUAAAAUAAAAUUUUUAAAAAUAUGAUUUUUUUUAAUUGAAAUUAUUUUUCGAAUGAGAUUCAAACACUAAAAAAUAUGUUCAAUCACAUAUCACUAAAUAAAUAAAAACUAACUAUUUUUCUAAAAGAUGAUUUUCUGAAAAUGAUUUUCGUUUAUCAUGAAGUUUUUCCUCAAACAAACGCAUCCUUACGAUGUUACGACAUAGACACAAAAUGAUAGAUAAACUAAUAAAUGAAAACAAUAUAAAUAAUCCAUGAAUUUUGGUUCAAUAUGCAAUGUAGUCCCUUAACUUUAAUUUAUUCAAUAUGAUCCAUGAAUUUUAGCUCAAUAUGGAAAAUUGCCAUUGAACUUUUAAUUUUUUUCAAUGUACUCCUUGAAUUUUUAAUAUAUGUUUAAUUUAGUCGUUGGACUCUAUGAAACUAUUUAUUAUUGUCCAUGAUCUUGAAUUAAUGGAAAAACUACAUUGAAUAUUUUCAUAAAGUUCAAAGACUACAUGUACAUUAAACAAAUUAAAAGUUCAGAGACCACAUUAACAUUAAACUAAAGUUUAGGGAGUUUAUAAAUCAUUUAUGUCAUUAUUCCAACUAAGAAUUCAAAAGAAUCUACAUAAAUACCAUAUUAUCCCAGUUACUGUUGUACACCCUAUUAUGUUUUGGGCUCUUUCCAAAAUUAUUCAAAUCACGAUUUUCGUUCUUUAUUAUAUUUUUUGUUAUUUUUUGUCCAUAUUAGCGGGUGGCCUUUUUCUUUAAUAGACAAAGGCUCAUGGCCAUUUAUCUAGUUUGAGUUUUUUUUUUAGUCAAAAGGAAAUUUACAUUCAUUAUGAAACUAAUGCAUAAAAGGAAAUCUCAAAAGUCGCAGUAACAAAAUAAACGAAUAACUAGAAAUCAAGGUGUUUUAUUAGAGUAUGAUUGGCAGAGAUUAUCACAAGCUCGUUUGUCAAGAACAGAUCUAUAAUGACAGAGAUCAUUACAAGGUUGUCCUUCAAGAGUAGAUCUGUAACCGGAUCCAAGCGAAAGGAUUGACGGCCAAUCACCGACUUACACAGUAUUAUCAGUGAUAAGCACACGCCACCAUUUGUAAUUAUGAAUUUGCCUUUUGAGUGAUUAUGUGCGCCUAAGUUCGGCGUCCAAACCACCAUCACCUUAUGUAGACAACAUAAGUAUAUUAAAAAUCUUAGAUCCGACACUUGUGAGAGUGAGUCUUGCAGAUCUAGUUUAAGCUCGAAAGGUUUUACUAUAAUCAAUAUUGAAAACGUAUUGAUUUGCAUUUAUUAUUUCUCCUUUUAAAAACAUGACCCCAUCACCAUUUUAAUACUUAGUCAUUAUUGUACAAGCUUUUACCUUACCUUUUUACUUUGCUAAAAUUACGUAAUCCUAUUAACACUAUAUUUAUAUUGAUUUCAAAAGUAGGAACAAAAACAUAAGUGAGCUCAAUAAAAACGAUACAGAAGAGUCUAAACAAAAAUUAAUUAACCUAUGUACGUAUAGAAAGUCAUUGUAAAGUUGAACAAAAAAAAUUAAAAGUACAGGUACAUAUCAUUAUUUAUGUACUCGAUGCAAAAAUUUAACGAAUAAGAGUCAGAUAAGAGGAAAAAUGUCCAUAUAAAAGUCCGAUUAAAAGCAAAUAUAAAUUUUACCAAAAAAAAAAAUGAAAAAACACGUGUUGCGUGAUGCCCGAAGACUUGACGUCGACUCUCUCUUCUAAGUCUUCCCCUUCCAAAAUUAGUAGAGCCACAGAGGCACCUGUCGUGCGUUCCAAAACGAUGUGGCUUCUGUGUUUCUUGAAAUGUAUAUUUCAUAAAAUUGCAGCACCUCGACACCGGGUGCGGUAGCUUCUUGGAAAAGUUAUUAUAAAACUGCCGAAAUUUCGAAGCAAUUGUAGCCACGAGGCAUUUACUGAAUACUUUACGGAAGAAGCAACUCUUCAAAGCCAUUCCAAAUGAUAGUAAGCAUGUGAAUUUUUGGAUCAUAAUGAAGGGAGUUUCCAAAGAUUUUUAGGAAGAAUUCCCUAAUCAUUAAUGGCUGCAUAAAAAAAGAGACUGAAUUCCAUUUUUUUUUUAUAAAAAUUAUGAAAGAAAUAAAUAAUUAUGAUAAAAUUACGAUUAGGAGAUUUUUGUCCUCCACCACCGUACAAGUGGCCCCAUAAUGAAUGAACUGAUGUUUGGGAUUAGGACCAAUAUGUCUUUUGCAGAAAAUAAUGUUUAUUUUCAGGAUUUGUACAUUAAUUGGUGAAAAUCUCAAGCCAAGGCAGAUUAAAAGAUUAACCGGUCACUGCUCAAUUGGAAAAAUAGGCAACACAACUGGCUAGUUGUGUAGAGCUACAUUAGGAAAGGAUAAUAAUGACCUUUGGACGUAUUUGUUUAAGCGAAAGAAUUCUUUAUGAAUUAAUUUUCCGAACUUUCAUAUAUUUGAUUUGUUAAAAAUGAUUAGUCGAUAGAAAAUCAAUUGUAGUAAACAAAAUAUAUGUAUAAUAAAUUCCCUAAUUUGAAAAAGGGAAAAUAUUAGCUUAAAAAAUAAAAAUAAAAAAUUCGAUAGCAUUUUCUUUUCUGAUCAAAAAAGCAUUUUCUUUUAUCAUUUGCAGUUGGAAACCUUAGUCGUGACUCUAAUACUAUCAAUUUUUGAUCUCCUCCUCCCCUGUUGAAAGUUUAAUUUGAUCUCAAAUUUCAUGUUACUUUUUUUCUCGAAUGGGUAUAGAUAAAGGAGCUUGACCAAAUAGUGUGAACACCAAAUGGAUGAGAUCAAAGAUCAAUUUGAAGCAUUUACAUUGAAUAUCCCCUUGUUUUUGUAUGUGCUUGGUCUAAGCGACAAAAUAUUACGUGUUCAAGUGAUAGACGCAUCAGUUUUACACAAGUCUAUUUCAUGAUUGACACGAAUUACUUUUGGACCCACCUAUCAGAAAUCUUUGCAUUCUCUCCCUCUCUUCUACAUCUUUCCCUCCCAAAAUUAGUAGAGCCAGAUGGGUGUAGAGACAGUUGUGGUGUGUUCCAAAACAACGUGGCUUUUGUGUUUUUGGAAAUGUUUAUUUCAUAAAUUGCAGCACCUCAACACCGGGUGUGGUAGCUUCCUAGAAAAGUUAUUAUAAAACUACUGAAAUUUCGAAGCAAUUGUCGCUGUGAGGCGUUCACCGAAUAUUUAUAGAAGCCGCAAUGCUUCAAGGCCAUUCUAAAUGAUAAUGAAGAGGGUUUCCAAAGAUUUUUGGGAAGAAUUCUCUAAUCAUUAAUUGCUGGAUAAAAGAAGAGAGUGAAUUUUACUAUCUACCGUAAGUCCUAAGUUUUCAAUUGUGUUACGAUAUUUCUUUAAUAAAAAUUACUAAAGAAAUAAAUAAUUAUGAUAAAUUGCGAUAAGGAGAUUCGGUCCUUCAACACCAUAUAAGUGGCUCCAUAAUGAAUGAAUUGAUAUUUGGGAUUAGGACCAAUAUGUCUUUUGCAGAAAAUAAUGUUUAUUUUCAGGAGUUGUAUAUUAAUUGGUGAAAUUCUCAAGCUGAAGCAGAUUAAAAGAUUAACAAGUCAACGCUUAAUCGGAAAAAUAGGCAACACAACUAGCUACAUUAGGAAAGGAUAAUAACGACCCUUUGGAUAUAUUUGUUUGAGCGAAAGAAUUCUUCGCGAAUUAGUUUUCUGAACUUUCAUGUGUUUGAUUUGUUAAAAAUGAUUAGUUGAUGGAAAAUCAAUUAUAAUAAAAAUAUAUAAAUAUAAUGAAUUUUCUAAUCUGAAAAGGGAAAAAUAUUAGCCUAAAAAAUAAAGAUUUUUCAAAAGCAUUUUCUUUUUUGACAAAAAAGAAAUUUCUUUUAUCAUUUAUGGUCGAAAGCCUUAGUCGUCGAUAUGAUACUAUCAAUUUCUGAUCUCCUCCUCCCUUGUUCAAAGUAUAGUUGAUCUCAAGUUUCAUGUCACCUUUUUUCUUUUUGAGUGGGUGUAGAUAUAGAAGCUUGACCAAAGAGCGAAUGCCAGAUGGAUGAGAUCAAAGACCAAUUUCCAAGAGAAAGAAGCAUCUACAUGGAAUAUUCCCUUGUUUUUAUAGAAAUCCAUUCCACCAUUGACACGUAUCACUCUUGGACCUACCUGUCAGAAAUCCUGACAUUCUCUCUCUCUCUCUCUUCAAUUAUGUGACACUCUCUCCUCUCUCUUUUGCGUUUUCUGAUACAAAGGACAAAGCCUACUCUAUUUUUGUCAAAAUGCUCUAUAUCCCUUCCAAGAACUCGCCGCUUCAAUCUUCGCUCACUUCUUCUCCGACCUCCAGCCCUACCACCUCUUGUCCAACUCCUCGUGCGCCCUCUAUGGUCACGUUAGCUAGGAGCUCGAGGCCCUCUACCGCGUUGACGGACCAUGCUGUUGCCUCCACCUCCGCCUCAUUCCUUACCUGGUCAAAGUUGAGCUCUAGAUCACAAAUCUAGGGCUUACUUGAGCUUAGACCCAAAAUUUGAGGCUCAAGUUCAUUGAUUCAGCUUGAACUUGAUAAUGGAGGACUAAGAUGAUGGUGAAAUGGUGGUAGAAGGCAAUUUACGGGAUUAAGUUGAUAAUGAGUUUGACUUGAGGUGUUGUCGUCUCUCGCAAAGUGAAAGGAGGAAGAAAAAGAAAAAAAAAGGAAAAAAAGUAAAAACAUUAAUUAAAGAGAGAGGAUAUAAGGGUUUUUCAUAGGUGGGCCCAAAAGUGACAUGUGUUGGACAUUAAAUGGAUAUGUGUAAAACUAAUGUAUCUAUCAUUUGGACACCUAACAUUUUCUUGGAUCUAAACAAAAAUAAUCACGUUACACGUCACCAUGGCCACGUUAGUGCAUAGUCAUUUUCCAACCACUCUUUCACAUUCUUUCCUCUUAAGCUCCUUUGGGACAACAAUUAUGUUAUCGAGAACAAUUUCGGUUCAUAAAUAGUUUUAUUUAUUUAUUUAUAUUUUUGGAAAUAAAAAAUAGUUUUUAUUUAUCUAUUAUCUCUAUUCCAAAUCUAUUUCCUGAUCACUUAUCUAUUCUGGAAAGUAGAAUAAUUAAUUGACGUACACAAAUGGAUUUAUGUUCUUGAAAAACAAAAAGAUAGAAAAACAGAAAAAUACACUAGUUACCAAACAAGUCAUAAGUUUUGCAUAAUACUUUUUCAAACUCCUCCUUUUCACCUCCUUGGAAAUCAGUCUCGUCCUCCUAAUUAUCGCAAAUCUUCUUCUUCUUCUUCUUUAAUCUUUUUCUUAUUUAAGAUUCUCAUUGAAUUAAUAUAUAUAUAUAUAUAUAUAUAUAUAUAUAUUUUUUUUUUUUUUGGUCAUUCCUAGUCUAUGUCUACUCUACACUCACUUGUAGACUUGUGCCCUGCCUCUUGCAGGGCGUGGGAGUCGCAACACACUCUCGAAACUUACGCGUCCUUACCCCCCAUCCCCCAUGAGAAGGUGGGGAUUUGAACCCCUCACCUCCCCCUUCCAAGUUGGAAGGGUGGCCACUGGGGCGAACCCCCAGUGGUUAUUAAAAUAUAUUGAACUUGACGAUUUUGCAACUGUUUAUUUGGAUUAGGGUUAGGGCCCCGUUAAUUUGUUUUGAGGGUGAGGCGACGGUGAAUCGAGCCCCCACAGACCUGUUCACUUAAAGCUCCCUUGCUGAUAAAAAGGCAAAAUCGCAAGCUUAUGAAUAAGAUAUGCUUUUAAAAAACUAAGAUUUAACAUAUUGUAAUAUCGAAAUGAAAUUCUUUGCAAAUUUCAAAAGGAAUGGUAAAAGAGGUAUAUAAAGAAUAAAUUGCGCCGUUUGUAAGAUGACGUGGCGUUUAUGUUUUUGAAAUCUAUAUUUUAUAAAUUGCAACACCUUAAAGUCAGUAGCUUCCUCAAAAGUUAUUAGAAGCGGCUGGAGUUUUGAAGUAGCCGUAAUUGUGAGGCGUUUACCAAAUACUUCAUAAAAGUCGUAACGCUCCUUUUUACAAUUGAAAUUGCUUCAGAAAAUCUGUUCCAAAUAGUAAUAGGCAUGUGAAUCUUAGAUUACAAUGAAGGGGGUUUUUAAAAAUUCUAGGGAAGAGGAUCCCUAAGCCUUAAUGACCAUUAGAUAAUAAUUAAAAGAGAAGAAGAAGCGAGUAUCACCGUUGAUCACGAACACAUUUAAACGUUUGCAUGUUAUAAUAUUUUAUAUAAAAAUUACAAAUAAAAGUAAACAAUUACGAUUAUUUGGGAUUGGGAGAUUCGUUCUUCGAGAUCAUACGAGUGCCCCAUAAUGAAUUGACGUUUAGGAUUAGUACUUCUUGGUUGAUUUAGGACCAAUAAUUUUCUUUCUAGAAAAAAGAAAUUUUCUUAUUCAGGAUUUGCACAUUAAUUUGUGAAAAUAUCAAGCUAACACAUAUUGAAAUAUGGGAAAAUUCCAAAUAAAGGCAUAAAGUGUUAUCAUUUUCUCAAAUAAGGACUCUAAAGUGAACCUUAUAUCGAAUAAGAAUCUAAAAUAGACAUGGUUGUUUCAAAUGAAGGCCUAACCUCGCCGAUUGCCAACUUGGCUAAAUAUUUUGAUUGAGUAAAGGCAUUUUCAUCCAAUUAUAAUUAUAAUUAUAAUUUUUUUUAUCAUUUCCUUUUCUUUAAUUCAUUUUUUUUCUGAUAAGGGCUCAGCGACCCUUUCUGGCUACGAGCGAGGCCACCCUUGCCUAGGGCCGACGAGGGCUUAAUGACCCUCGUCUGCCAUUGGCCUCCCCUAAGGUAAGGCCGCCCCUCGCUUGCUGUUGGUGAGGCGACCCCCACCUAUGUCCAAAGACAAAUCAUAAUCAUCUUAUCCUAGCAUAACGUGUAACCCGAUGCCGUACUUUAGGUGUAUUUGUUUUUGGACAAAUUUCAUGAUAAAUGAAAAUGUAAUUUAGGAAAUCAUUUUUCAGGAAUUUUUUUCCCCUUUUCAAAUUAGAGAAUUUAUUUUCCUAACUUUGAGCACACAUUUUUUUCACUGUAAAUUGUUUUCUAUCAAUUAGUUCGUAAAAAAAUUUAAAUAAAUACUCAUUAAUGUCCUUUCCUGAUGUAGCUCUGCACAAUUAGCUAGCUGCAUUGCCUAUUUUUCCAAUUCAGUGGUGACCCAUUAAUAUUUGGGUUAAUAACCUGAAAAUUUGCAAACCAGUACACAUGUGACAAAUUUACUCUAAACUAUUUUUUUUACAAUCAAAAACUCCAAAUUAGUAUACCUUUGGCAAAUUUACCAUAUGUUAGUUUUCGUUAAAUUUUACUAUCAAAUUAUUAAGUUAACAUGUGACAAUUGACUAGUAUACCAAUCUUGAAUUUUACACUCUGUUUGUCACAGUUUACAAUUUUUGUGAUGUUUUUGUGGUAUUAUUCCAAUUUAGCAGAUGAUAUAUUUGUUACAAAUUUAUUAAUUUGGGGUUUUUUGCGGUCAAAUAAAUUAGUUUUGGGUAAAUUUGUCAUAAACGUACCGGCUUAUGAUUUUUUUAUGGUUAGUCGGGGUAAAUUUGUCACAAGUAUACUGGUUUGAGGUUUUUCAUAGUAAAAAGAAAAACAGUUUUUGGUAAAUUUGUCAUAAGUGUAUCGGUUUGGGGUUUUUUAGGGUAUUAAAUCUUUUUAAUGUGCAUUAGCUUGAGAUUUUCACCAAUUAAUAUGCAACUCCUUGGAAAGAAUUAUUACAUUCUACAAAAGACAUAUUGGCCCUAAUCCCACACGCAGUUCAUUAUGAGGGCACUUGCAUGGUGUCGAAGGACGAAUCUCUGGAUCGCAAUUUAUCGUAAUUAUUCAUUAUUCUUUCAUAAUUUUUACACAAGAUACUGAAACACGCAAAAAAUUUGGAAGGGUUUACGAUCGAUGGUGAAAAUCCCUCCUCUCUAUCCUAUGGCCAUCAUUGGUUGGAUCUGCUUCCCAAGAAUCUUUCGAAGCCCCUUUCAUUAUAAACCAAAUUUCAUACGUCUACCAUCAUUUGGAACAAACUUCCAACAACUACUUUAGUCUUGAAAAAGAAUGUUUUGACUAGGGAUGAACAUUGUUUGAAUGGCCGAUUCCCACCUUAAAAUCAAAAACCGCCCACUAAAAAUCAUUUUUGAAAAACUUGGAAUGGGAUACUACUCAAUGAUUUCAUGGAUCCACCUAGGAACCGAUCUCCAAUCCUUAUAAAAUUGCAUUCAUCAAUUUAUAUCAUAUCAAACCUAAUUUUUAUUUAGAGCACCAAAGUUUGCUUAGCUAUAAAUUAAUGUUGAAUUGCGAGACAUUGAUUUUGAUUAGAGAUUGACAAAUAUAGAGCAGAACCAAUAGACAAUACUCAUUAGUUAAGAACUUAAUUUUUUCAAAUGUCAUGAUGUGGUCCUCUUAAGGUUUUCCGAUAUCAAGAACGUAUGGAGAAUUAGACUCUACGUUAGAAGUCCUAACCUCCAAAGAAAUUAAAACAUUAAUCACUUGAUUCAUUUUUUUUUCAACCUCAACUAAUUUAAUCACGGGCAUAGCUAAGAAAAACCUAAUUAUGCUUUUAAUAUGAGCCAUUGACUCUUAAUUUUGUAUCAAUACAAUAAAGUGCCGCAACAUUUAGGGAUAUCUCUAACCGGUCCUCUCCUUUCUCUUCAUUUGUCUAUUUUGUUUUGGCUAAGAAAGUAAGUAAAUAGAUUAUUAGAAUGAAAAAAAAAGGUAGGGGAUUAAUCCUAUUACACACUCAAAAGACAAAAUUAGUCAAUAAUGUCUAAUAAUAUAUAUUGGUCAAAAAACUACAAAAUAAUUAAGUUAUAUAUAUAGAUUUCAUCUAGGUGGGCGAUUCCAUACCUAGAAUCGGGAAUCGAAUCGGUGCUCACCCGUUCCACUAAAUUAGAACUAAGAAUAAGAUUAGUCCUCAUGGAAAAUGCCAGUUUUGUCCGAUUUAAUGCGAUUCUUGGUUCCUUUGAUCCAUCUUUUUUAACAUCAACUAAUAUUUAAUCAUGGGGAUGGUUAAAGAGAGACCUUAUUUUGCUCUUAAAAUGAGCCAUUGUCCUCUCUUUCCUCUUUGUUUAUUUUGUUUUGGCUAAGAAAGUGAGUAAAUAAAUUAUUAGAAUAGGGUUAAUCCUAUUACACAUUGGAAGGACAAAAUUUGUCAUAAUGUCCAAUAACUACAAACAUAUAUUUUGGUAAAAAAAUUUCAAAAUAAUUAAGUAAUAUAUAUAUUGAGAAUCAGACCGGUACUCACCAGUUCCAUUAAAUUAGAAUCGAGACCUGGACUAGUCCUCAUAGGAGCCACCGAUUUUGUACUGGUUUCAGCCUGGUUCUUUGCAAUUCAGGCGAUUCUCAAUUCCUUGGCAUUGUCACGGCUACUUCAAAAUUUCAGUAGCCUUUGAUGACUUUCUAGGAAGCUACCGCACCCGACAUUGGAGUGCUACAAUUUAUAAAAUAUGCAUUUCAUAAUCACAAAAAGGUACGUCAUCUUAUACAUUUUUACCAAACUGGCUCUACUUAUUUUGAAAGGGAAAGACCAAGAACAGACAGUCAACGUCAAGUCCUUGGGCAUUAUUUAUCGCCGACAAUACCUAAUCUAGGGCAGGUCAUCCUUUUUACUUAUUGUGAAAACUCACUCUUUGCACGGAUAUUGUGAAAAAGACAGAAUAUAACACGCGUUUUUCAUUUUCAUUUUUAUUUACAAUUUAUUUUCGAUUUGCUUUUAAUCUGACUUUUAUAUGGAUAUUUCCUUUUUACUUUCUCGUGUUCGUUAAAUUUUUGUAUCAAGUACAUAAAUAUUGAUACGUACCCGUAUUUUUUCAAUCUUUUUUCAUUUCAAAUUCUUUUCAUUUACCUUGCUUGAUUUUAUUUUAUUUUUAACUUUACCGUGACUUUCUAAAUUUACAUAUGUUAAUAUUUUUAUUUAGACUAUUUUAUAUCGUUGUAUCAACUUCAUUGAAGAACUAUUUUGAUUCUGUCAUUACUUUUGUUAUUAAUGUAAGUAUGGUGUCAAUAGGGUUAUGAAAUUUUAGCAAAAUAAAAAGGUAAAGUGCAAGUUUAUGCAACCAUGAAGUUAUGAUUUUAAAAGGAGAAACAAUAAAUGCAAAUCGAUUCGUUUUGAAUAUUGAUUAUAGUAAAAAAAUUUUGUGCUUCAAGUGAUAUUAAAUAAGAUUUGCCACACUCAACUUGAACAUGGCGAAGUGAGAAACUUGAACCAGAUAGAGAAGCUUAGUAUCCCCAAAGCCUAAUCUUCUUCUAUUAUUAUUAUUAUUAUUAUUAUUAUUAUUAUUAUUAUUAUUAUUAUUAUUAUUAUUAUUAUUAUUAUUAUUAUUAUUAUUCUUAUUAUUAUUAUUAUUAUUAUUAUUAUUAUUAUUAUUAUUAUUAUUAUUAUUAUUAUUGUUAUUAUUGUUAUUAUUGUUAUUAUUGUUAUUAUUGUUAUUCUUAUUAUUGUUAUUAUUAUUAUUAUUAUUAUUAUUAUUAUUAUUAUUAUUAUUAGAGCGAUACAAGUAUUCUUUUUAAGGAAAAAUGUUGUAAAAAUCAUUUAUCUUUUACGAAACAAAUAUAGGUUAAAUAUACUUAAAAAUCAUCUUAGCCCCCUCUCCCUCCUCUAUUAUAACACUACCGCCCCAAAAAUAAAAAUACAACUAUAAUAGUCCAAUAACAAUGGACAUCCAUCCACAUCAUGCUCUCCAAAAGAGUGAUCUACAACCUUUUGAAAAGAUAGAAGAUUCCAACACUAUCGUUAUUUAUUAUAAGAUGAACAAUAACAAUUUGAAUACUGAAUAAUAUAUAUUUUGAUAACUUGAAUGUUAUCUUAUUCCGUAAUAUAUCUUAUUAGUUCUAUAAUUAUUCUACUUUUGCAAAUCAAAUUGUAUUUUGGAUUCUUCUUUAGAACUAUUCAUAUUAGUUGGUGGCCUUUUUGUUAAUAGACAAAAGCUCAUUAAUAUCCUUUCCUGAUGUAACUCUGCCCAACUAGCUUGCUGCGUUGCCAAUUUUCCAAUUGAAGCGAUCCUUUGAUAUUUUAAUAUGCAUUAGCUUGAUAUUUUCACCAAUUAAUGUACAAAUCCUGAAAAAUAAAAUUUUAUUUUCUAGAAAAAGACAAGUUGGACCUAAAUCAAUAAAGAAAAAGGCCCAUCAAUAUCCUUUCCUGAUGUAACUCUGCCCAACUAGCUUGCUGCGUUGCCAAUUUUCCAAUUGAAGCGAUCCUUUGAUAUUUUAAUAUGCAUUAGCUUGAUAUUUUCACCAAUUAAUAUACAAAUACUGAAAAAUAAAAUUUUAUUUUCUAGAAAAAGACAAGUUGGACCUAAAUCAAUAAAGAAAAAGAUACUAUUAUAAAUGUCAAUUCAUUUUGGGCACUUGUAUGGUUUCGAAGGAUGAAACUCCGGAUUGCAAUUUAUUGAAAUUAUUUUUUCCAUUAUUUUUAAUUAAAAUAUUGUAACACACAAAAAUUUAAAAUGGUUCGUGAUUAAUGGUGAGAUUUACUCUCUUUUCUCUCCAACCCCAUGAAAAAUUAGGGAUAUGCUUUCGAAAAAUCUUUAGAAACCUCUUAUUACAAUCCAAAAUGCAUAUGCCUAUUAUCCUUUUGAGCAGCUUUGCGUAGUAAUUUUCAGCCGUGAAAAGGAGUGUCAUGACUUUCGUAAAUUAUUUGGUCAACACCUCACAGCUACAGCUAUGACCACUUUAAAAUUUCAGCAGCUUAUAAUAACUUUAUAGGAAUUAGGAAGCUACUACAAUUUAUAAAUUAUGCAUUUCAAAAACAUGAAAGCCACCUCAUUUUAUAACACACCUCAACUACCUUUGUACCAAUCUGGCUCUACUAAUUUUGAAAGAGAAAGCCCAAAAACAGAGAGUCAACGUCUAGUUUUUGGGUAUCAAUUAUUCCUGACUGGGCCUGGACCACAGAUUGCAAAAUGAAGCUGGCUCAUCCCAGUUUUGUGCGUAUGAUAAACUGGGUGAUCAGUUCCCGGUUCAGUUUGGUUUCAAGGUGGAACCGGGAAAUAGACCGGGAGAACUGGUUCCGGUCCGGUCCGGUCCAACAAAAUUGACAUUUUCCUUUUUCACUAAAGAAAAACCAUGCUCCGGACUGAUCAAUCCAAUUCGGUUCCUAGGCGUUUUAAUAAAACUACUCACACAUGUUUCCAUGCGCCAUGUGCAAAAUAUUCACACUUCACUUGCGUGAAUAUCAAUCACAGUUUAUGUGUUUCACGCUUAAUUUUAAGCAUAAAAGCCAUGAACAAUUUGAUUAAAGGUUGUGCUUAGUUUAGAUUUUAUAAACAAUCUCUCUUCUAUGCUUUGAAUGUUUAGUCGAUAUCGGACUCUUUGAGGCUUGAAGUGCCUUGUUGUUUGCAAGUGAGGGGAGCAAGUGAGAGAGUGUGAGCACGAGGAACUCCUAGAGCCUUCUCUCACAUUGAGUAGAAAAUGAAACUAACAAGUAAGUUUUCUCUAUAAAUAAAGAGUAACAACAAAGCUUUGGUGGUCUCUUGGCCACAUAGAAGAUUGUUACCUCAAUUGCAAUUGUAAUUGCAAUAAGUUUCAUAUAUAAUAUUCAUAUAUUAUAUGUGUUUAUAUAUUAUAUGUAUAUAAAUUAUAUAUAAAAAAAUUGGUCCGGUCUGGUCGGUCCGGUUGGUCCGGUUCCCACCUUGAAACCAAGAACCAGACCAACCGGCCGCCGGUUCCAAGAUUAGGAACUGGGAACCGGACCGCCGACCGUGGGAACCGCCCAAAACCGGCCGGUUCGGUCCAGUCCCGGUUCAGGCGGUUUCCGUUGCACACCCCUAUGAUAAACAAGCUAGCAGAUUGGGUGGUAAAAGCCCCACGAAAAGAAGAAUUCCCCCAGAAUUGGCUAUUUCAUCCUGGGGAACUUAUGUUGGAUAAUUUAUAUUGGGUAAAAGUCACCAAUAACACAUUUAUUUAAAACUUUUUUUCGUGACACAAAAAACUCUAAACUAAACUAAUGUGUACAUUUACCCCAAAUUUAUACAGUGUGACAUCUUUAUCCCAAAUUUAUUUUUCAAACAUUUACUUGUGUGAUGAAUUCACCCAAAAAAUUUGGUGUCUCAAGAAAAAUUUUGAGAUUUUUGGUGUUAUAAAAAAAAAAUUAGAGUAAAUACGUCACACAGGUAAAAAUUUGGGAUUUUUUGUAUCACAGAAAAAUUCGAAGCAAAUGUGCUAUAGUGGGCAAAGUUUGGAGUUUUUUGCGUCACAAAAAAUAAUUUAUGGUAAAUGUGUCAUUAUCAGCAAAGUUUGAGAUUUUUUUUUUUUUGGUAACUUUUUCCCUUAUAUUUUCACAAACUUGGCUUGAGUUGAUAAAAUUUAUGUUUAGACACAAAAAAAUUUGUUGCAUACUAGAAAACCGACUCUUUGCGCAGAAAUUGAGAAAAAAACAGAAUAAAAUUAUUGUCCUUUUCUUGCAUCGUGCGGAUUCCCACCCAAUACCACCUGUUUUUAUUUAUUAUUUUUUUUUUGCUAAAAAUCAAUUUUCCAUUUGCUUUCAAUAUAACUUUCAUAUACUACUGCUUUUUACUACUGUUCUCUUGUUCCUUAAAUUAAGAGAAGAUAGCAUAAAUGAUCCUUGAAUUUUGUCUCAAUUCGCAAUAUCAUCCUUAAAAUUUUAAUUUAUUUAAUGUGGUUCUUGAACUAUUAGUAAAUGUUCAAUGUCGUCUUUAUGCUUGCUCAAAGGGCAAACCAAAUGUUAUUUUGAUGAUGUAGAUUACUAUAUGUUGAGUUGAAUUUUUAGAAAUGAUGAUUCGAUAUAUCUAUCAUUUUACCCAUCUACUUUAGAUAAGGAAAAAAUUUAAGCAUUAACAUGUCCAUUGUUAUUUAUUGACAUGGAUUAUUAUAUCCAAGUCAAGAUGAAUAUCUUACGUGGAUAAUCCAUAAAUAACUCUUUUUCUUUUUUUGCUCACUAUUCAAACCUAAAUGAUUGGAAGCUACAUCACUAGAUUUGUUAUUGUAGCUUUUGUUAAUUUGAAUUAAUGGAAGGAAUGUAUUCUAGAAUUAGAUUGAAUAUUUGUAAAUAAUUCAAGUAUCACAUUGCAUAUUGGACCAAAAUUCAUAGACCAUUUACGUCAUCUUUCUUUAAAUUUUUUAAUCAAGUACAUAAAUAUUGCAAUGUACCUAUGUUUUUCAAUUUUUUUUUUCAUUUAAAUGAGUUUUAUUUGGAGAGAAUUCAGAAAGGGCUUUCUGCUUCGUUUAUAACCACGGACAGAAUGCAAUAAAGUCAGCGGGGCACUUCCAAAAAGCUUUCAUUAUACCUUGAUUUUACUCAAAUUAUCUAAUAAAUGUUUUUGGAGGUAGAACCCACUGAUUUGUCAAACCCAUUAUGGCUAAUUCCUGCCACAUCUCAUUAAACUACAGUUUAGAUUAAAUAAAAUAUAUGGUAGAAAUGAAAUAGCAUUUCUUUACACUUCGGCUAAAAUAUUUUUACAACUUUGCCAUGAAUUUCCAAAUUUAGAUGGAUUGAUUUUUUUCUAUUUAUUUUUUUUAUAUCAUUGUAUUGACCCCAUUGAUAAAUUUUUUUUAUCACAAUUAAAAAGUAAAAGCUUACGCAAUCAUGAAUGAGUAUUAUAAUUGUGAUGGAAUCAUGUUUUUAAGUGGAGAAACAAUCAAUGUAAAUAAUUACUUAUUGUAGAUUUUAGCAAUAACUUUUGUGCUUCAAGUAAAUAUAAAAUAAAAUUUGCCACUCUACUUGAACUAGAUAUAUGGCCAAGUAUAACACUUGAGCCAGAGAGAGAAGUUCAGUAUCUCCAUAGCUUCAUUUUCUUGAUCGAAAGUUUUGUGAACUAUGAUUCAGCUACAAUAAAUCACAUGGGACUCCAAACAUUUCUUGAUACUCAAGACUCGAUCGAAUCUAUUAGAGCUAGGUCUCUUCUCGAAACUAAAAUUAAUACCGACAUCUUUUUGUCCUUACUAGAAAAAGAAUUCAACCAAAAAAAGAAGUGUGGAAAUGUGGAAAUAGAAAGCAUAAGGCGUUCCUUUUUCUGCUUGAGAAGGAAAUAACAUUCCACGUCGAAUGUAUCGAUUCUAUCCUCAAAUUCAACCUCUUCAACGAAGUGGAAGAUAAACAAACAUCAAGUCUCGUCUUCUUGACAUUACAUUUAAGUUUGAUAUAUGGGGAAAACAGUCAAAUUAAUCCAUCUUCUUUGCCCAAGAACUAGACAUAUUGCUAACAGAUGCUCUUUCAUAAACGUGAGCUGCAAUUGGGCCUACAAGAGCCAACAGUUCUUGCAAACCGGCCUGCUCAUCAAGGAUCAGCAAGGCAUGAACUUUUGCGGCGCCUUCUCCGUCUUGUUUUUUCCGAUCGCUCUUCCUUAAGACGACUAGCGACAUGCAUUCCAAGAGCAUGGGAUUAUACGCCAAGAGUUGGGGGACUUAAUGGGAGCUGAUUAACUUUCCAUUGUCACAAAUUAUAUCAACUGAUCCGGAUCUAGAGUCACCAUCUAAUGAUAUAACAGAGGAUCUGUUACCAUAAUGCUGAACUGCACAAUAACUAAUCACUAGGACUUUAGGACUGAUCCAUCCGGAUUGUAUCGAUUAAGCAUGUUCUAUUAAGUCCAGUGUGCAUGCAACAUCUCAAAGCUGCAUCUUCAAAAGGAGAGACGGAAGUGCAUGUACGACAACUGCCGAUCAAAGACUACUCGAUCCUACUGCUCUAUUUAGCGCAUGGCUUGUCGACAAUAAAAUUUUUAUUAAGAUGGCCAACUGUCUCAUAACGCACAUCAUAUUACUCACAUACAAACCCCUCGCAGAUCAAGCUCGGAAACAUCCUCCCAGAAAAGAAAAAAAGGAGAACGGCUCCAAACGAGUCAUAGAUAACGAAACUUCCAUACGGCUACUUUCAGGCUUUACGACAGACCUCACCAUCACAGACCCAUCCUUCUUUGGCAUCUCCUUCUUUCUUUGCUUCCUCCUCAGCUGCUUCAUCGUCUUCAUCUAACUCGUUUUCAGUUGCUUUCUCUUCUUUAACAGCACAUUUUGGAUGGAGAUCAAAGUCACACUCCUCGCAAUAAUAUGACCACCCCUCCCCCUCUUCAUCGCAGCCCUCACAAGUGUACCGUCUCCUCUGAGCCGGAACGAGCUCGUGCUCUUCAUGCAAAGGAUGCUUCAACUUCUCUGGCCAGCCUUUUAUACUUUCCUUGAACUUUUCCUCAAACUUCUUGAGAUGUUCGGCAGUAAAAGGAUAAGCAUCAGCCCCGUGGUCCAUUAUAAGAUCCCUUGCUUUGUUAGUCACCGUCCGGCCCGUUGGACCUAUGGCUACAAGCAUGGGGAUGCCCCGGACCUUGAAUUUGCCACUCAGGGAUUUCUUCCUCUCGUCACCAAAAGGGAGCGCCAGCCACG
Molecule: long non-coding RNA, 53714 nt
Filed under: Eucalyptus grandis
Lineage: Eukaryota; Viridiplantae; Streptophyta; Magnoliopsida; Myrtales; Myrtaceae
Description: long non-coding RNA (EGRA_LNC004915)
Source: RNAcentral